RNAcentral lists this long non-coding RNA (89254 nucleotides) under Triticum aestivum (bread wheat). RNAcentral's name for it is "long non-coding RNA (TAES_LNC024477)". The record is from RNAcentral. Lineage: Eukaryota; Viridiplantae; Streptophyta; Magnoliopsida; Poales; Poaceae.
UCCGCUUCGAGAUCCUCGAGACGAUCGCCACGCUUCUCAACGCCAACGUGACACCUUGCCUACCGCUUAGGGGCACCAUCACCGCGUCCGGUGACCUCGUCCCGCUUUCCUAUAUUGCGGGACUGGUAACCGGCCGCCCAAACUCCAUGGCCACGGCUCCAGAUGGCACGAAGGUUAACGCGGCAGAGGCAUUUAAGAUUGCCGGCAUCCAACAUGGCUUCUUCGAGCUGCAGCCCAAGGAAGGCCUUGCCAUGGUGAACGGCACGGCAGUGGGCUCAGGGCUUGCAUCCAUGGUCCUUUUCGAGGCUAACAUCCUUAGCCUUCUUGCCGAGGUCCUGUCGGCCGUCUUCUGUGAGGUCAUGAACGGCAAGCCAGAGUACACUGACCACUUGACCCAUAAGUUGAAGCACCACCCUGGGCAGAUCGAGGCAGCCGCCAUCAUGGAGCACAUACUUGAAGGCAGCUCCUACAUGAUGCUUGCUAAGAAGCUCGGCGAGCUCGACCCAUUGAUGAAGCCAAAGCAAGAUAGGUAUGCACUCCGCACGUCACCGCAGUGGCUUGGUCCUCAGAUUGAGGUCAUUCGUGCUGCCACGAAGUCUAUUGAGCGAGAGAUCAACUCCGUCAACGACAACCCACUCAUCGACGUCUCCCGUGGCAAGGCUAUUCAUGGUGGAAACUUCCAGGGCACACCAAUCGGUGUGUCUAUGGACAACACCAGGCUUGCCAUUGCCGCGAUUGGCAAGCUCAUGUUUGCCCAAUUCUCAGAGUUGGUGAACGACUUCUACAACAACGGUCUUCCUUCCAACCUCUCCGGUGGGCGCAACCCAAGCUUGGACUAUGGCUUCAAGGGUGCCGAGAUUGCCAUGGCCUCGUACUGCUCCGAGCUCCAGUUCUUGGGCAACCCUGUGACCAACCAUGUCCAGAGCGCAGAGCAGCACAACCAAGAUGUCAACUCUCUUGGCCUCAUCUCCUCAAGGAAGACUGCCGAGGCCAUUGACAUACUGAAGCUUAUGUCCUCAACAUUCUUGGUCGCGUUGUGCCAAGCUAUCGACCUCCGCCACCUAGAGGAGAAUGUCAAGAAUGCCGUGAAGAGUUGUGUGAAGACUGUAGCUAGGAAGACACUGAGCACCAACAACAAUGGUCAUCUCCACAAUGCACGCUUCUGUGAGAAGGACUUGCUGCUCACAAUCGACCGUGAGGCGGUGUUUGCUUACGCAGAUGACCCUUGCAGCGCCAACUACCCACUGAUGCAGAAGAUGCGUGCAGUCCUCGUGGAGCAUGCCUUGGCCAAUGGUGAGGCUGAGCGCGAUGUGGAGACAUCGGUGUUUGCUAAACUUGCCAUAUUUGAACAGGAGCUCCGUGCAGUGCUUCCAAAGGAGGUCGAGGCUGCCCGAGGUGCCGUAGAGAAUGGUACUGCUACACAACAAAACCGUAUCGCUGAGUGUCGAUCAUACCCUCUCUACCGGUUUGUGCGCAAGGAGCUUGGAACUGAGUACUUGACCGGGGAGAAGACUAGGUCUCCCGGCGAAGAGGUGGACAAGGUGUUCGUUGCUAUGAACCAGGGCAAGCACAUUGACGCACUACUUGAGUGUCUCAAGGGGUGGAACGGUGAGCCCCUACCUAUCUGCUGAGGAUCAAGAACUUGAAGAGAAGAUAGAGUACUUUAAAGUUCAAAAGGCUUGAGAUGUUCUUAGUUGAUAAGUGAUAAUACUGUUUUUCAUUGGAUUUCCUUAGAAGUCGAUGUUUUGUAAUGUUCUUACAGAGCUGCCAGGUUGUUGCCAAAAAUUGCAAUUGCAUGCUUUGGUAGUGAUAGGUAGCCACUAGAACUACUAUGAUGCAAGUUAAAAGGAUACAAUGUGUGAUAAAUAUUCAUGAUAAAUUUACUUGUCCCUUUUUUGAGAUCAAUGGUCCAGUGGUUCUUGAGACAACUUCAAACAGUGCAAAGAAUUUAUUGUGUUUUCUUAACUGCAAAGAAUCUAUUGUUGGCAUGUUAUAUGGUGUGUGGAAGCCACGCAUCAAGAUAGACCGCAGACCAGAAAGUUAAAAUAGUUCCUACAUAGUCACUAGUCGGUUGUAUCCCUACAGUGGCUAGUUCCAUCAACACGAUGUGAUGGCUUCUCUUCUUUGUCGUAACCAAGUGUUGCUAUUUACCAAUUUGAGUCUACGAUGUUGUCCGACUUCACUUGGUGAUACAGACAUAUUUUAGAUAAAUAAUUUUUUUAUUUAUGAUUAAUCACGAGCUUUCUUCAAUUCUCUACCUUCUGAAUAAUAACUGGCCUUUUCCCUUUGAAGUUUCAUUUUUUAUCCUAGAAUUUCACUAGCUCCCAGUUCCCACUUUGAUAUUGAAAAAUAUAUACUCUAAUGUCUUCAUGUUUUUUCUUCUCAUUUUUGAGUUUUUUAUUUUAAUACUCUAUAUUUUCAUCAUAUUUCCAUGAGUCGUGUUAUUUAACUGAAGUUAGAGAUCACAUAAUAUUAUGUCUAUACUACUAAAACAGAAAGAUCAAAAUUGUCUGAUGUUAUAGCUUAGAAACCACAACCCGCAGAAAAAAAGGCUUAGAAACCACUAAUAAAUUCAAUUUUCAAUAGUAAUAACGGGAAGACAAAAAUGCAUCUUUGAAAAAAUGGAGAUAGGAGGAGAAGACGGAAGCACUGACGUUAGCAAUCCUACGGCCGCCAUUAGUUGCAGCCAGGCCAAAUAGCUUGUAUGGUUUGCCACUGUAUCAGUUGAACUACAUGUCGCACUCUCACCAACCCAUCGAGGGAACGCAUGUCUAAGGGCAUGUUUGGUUUCAAUAAGUCACCUGACUUAUAAGUUAGGUAACUUAAAACCAGUGACUUAUAAAUCACGCCUGUUUGGUUAUCACCUGAUUUAUAAGUCACCUGACCACACCUUUCCAUCUUGUUUUUUUAUGUAAAGGUGAUGGGACCCAUGUAAAAGAGGGUGACUUAUAAGUUUUAAGUUGGGAUGGAGCAACUUAUGACUUAUAAGUUGGGGUGACUUAUAAGUUGGGUCUGCUUGGCAAAAUAAAUCACUUUUUUCACUUUUCGACUUAUAAAUUGGUGACUUAUUUGGAACCAAACAGGCCCUAACGAGGGUUGGGCGCCUAGCUGGGUUGAAGCUUAGGGUUGGUGAGAUUCUUCACCGUAUGCACGUCCAUGGCCAAUUAUUGUAUAAGUUCGUAAAAAAAAAUCUGUCUAUACUAUAACCAUGGUCAGGGUUGGUAAUUCUCAGUCAACAAAUUGAUUGUUGAUAAUAAGCGGAGUUGUUGGCAAUCAUUGACAAUGUCAAACAUCAACGUGCUGGUCAAACAAGUCAAAUAUAAACAGAGUUGGAAACUAUGCAUGCUCGUAUGCUGCAUAGUUCUUGAGUUGGCUUUGGCUUUAUGCCCUCAGACUGGUGUAAAUGUACCUCAAUUAGCCGGAAAGGCUCCACUCGUUGGGAAGAAACUGCAUGGACAUGUCGAAUGUCUUUAGUUACAGAGACGUGUCUAAAGCCAACAAUGAACAACUUGUAUGUGUGUAGACCAAAGACCACAGGAAUUUUCCACGAUAUCACUCGAAAAGUACUAAAAAGGCCAAACGACAUGCAUUUUCUCCUCCAAAAAGACUGCUAUGCUGCCCCCAAAGUUCUUCAACAAACUCGCACAGGUACAGCGUAGCGUAGAAAAACGCCAGCAGCCGCCUCCUCCUCCAGGAAAGAAAGUUAGAAUUCGUACCUCUCGCCGGCGCUGGCGCAGGUCCGCCUCGUCUCCGAUGGCCGUAGGGCCAUUUAGGAGCGGUGGAUCCUGGCAAGGACCGGCGAGAGGGCUUCUUUUUUAGUCGUUUUUUCAAUCUUGUUAGGGUUUGUGUCCUGCUCAGGGAGACGAAACGGCCGCGGCUACCUGAAGAUGGAAUAAAGGUCUCCCCGCCUAGCCUCCGUUCCGGCGAUGCGUCUAUCAUCGUUGGUGGGCGUGUGAAGGUGUGUCUCCGGCAGAUCUAUCUUUGGUGGAUUUGCUCGGAUCACGUCGCUGUUCGUCUACGUUCGUGUGUCUUCGGUUUGGAUUCUUCUGAUCGAUGUACGUUAUUUUUCAUCGGCGGCGGUUGUUGUUCUGGGGUGCUGGUCUUAUGUGGCCUUAGCACGACGACUUUCCGGCUGUCUACUACAAUAAGUUGUGGCCGACUCCGGUGAUGGAGGGGCGAUGACGGCAGCGCGCCUUCGGCUAGCUUCAGUGCUUGUACUCGUCGCUAGGUGGUCUACAAAUCUGGAUGUAAUUUUUAUUUCUGAUAUUCGUUGUACUGCCAUGAUUAAAGAUGAAUAAAUUGAAAAAAAUUCUGAAAAAAAGUUCUUCAACAAAUAUCUUUUUCUCCCCGGAAAAAAAAAGAAAUGUAUAGCUUUUUUUUGGAUAGACUGGACCAGAAACGAGAAUCUGCCGUGUAUGUAUGCAUCCGACGGACCCACUAACUAUUUUUAGAGGCGCAUGUCUCCGUGUGACCAACGACUUGACCUCAAAAAGAUCUGGUCGACAUUCCGACGCAAAAACGACCCCAACGGUGUGCACGCGGAUGACCGACGACGACGAGAACACCGGCCGUGAAUUCCCCUGUUUCCUUCCGUUUUCGCUCCUGCCUCGUGGUGAAGCUGUCGGAGUCGACAGACUGAACGAACGACCCCGGCCAGAGAGGACGCCCGUCAGUUUUCGACCUGGACCUGAUCGAGUAAUCCAAAAAUUCCGAAGCAGCCUACAGGACUGAUUUUGAACGGGAGACCAGCCACAUGUUUCGGGCUCACCUGCAGUCACGGUCGAGAGAGUCUUCAGUGCAGCCACUGCACCACUGAAAUUCUUUGCAGUUACCCAUAAACAUCAUCCCAUUUUCCAACUUUGAAAAUGAGAAGAGAACAUUGCCCCAAUUUCCAGCGUACAGCGUUCUAGGAAAUGAUUCCAGAGUUUCCACUGAGCACAGUAGUCAAAGUCUGGCAAGUCAAGCGUUCACUAAGAAAGUGAGAAUGGAUCUUCACACGGCGGCAGUGCAGAGCGCAGAAUGACCCGUACCCAUCAGAAUAUGAUGGCUUUACAUUCAGACCGGAAUAUCCCUCGUCAUUUACUCACUUGCGAAUGGAAUAGCAGGGAAGACCACGAAGCACCACCCAAUUUCUUUAGAUCAGUGGUGCUUGCUAAAGGAAGAAAAUACUACAUUGUGAUUUUGAUCACCGCCCAGCUCGUGCCGCGAGACUCUUGACUGACGGACCGCCCUGGCAGGACUGACCGGUGGACUGUCUCGUUUUAAACAGAACUGUUCUUCCAAACAAAUUAAUUUCGUAAUGUCCUGAAGACAGCAUGAAAGCGUCAAAUUGCAUUAGGAAAUACUGAAGGUCACGAGUUCAAUCAAAACCAUAUGACCAUGUGCGGCCCUGAAUUUUAAUAGGACAUGUGGGGUUCGUCGCACCCCGAAGAAAAUACUACUAGUAGUGAAAGGCCUAUGGAUCAGUGGCAGAUAAACAAACUCACAGUGGAUGGUAGCAGAACCCCACUCGCUUUGGAGGAACCAACGAGGCUGCUUUGUCAAGGCAAGGACCGUGUCACUGUUUUCUAAGGUUUCUUCUCUUGUACUCCAGUUUUAUACUACUCCAGUAGUAGAGUAGAUGUUAUGCAACUGCCCCGCUUGUUUUAAAUGUUCCAAUGUCGACAAGAGGACAUGCUUAUAUUAGUAUGUUUGACACGAGAAAUGAUAAAAAUAACGUUGGUUAUUGUAUAAUUAUCUCUCUACGCUCCAGGAGAAAUAAAACGUUGCGGGCGUGCCAGUGUACUAAGUAUACAAAUAAACAUGGGGAAACAUGCACUUUAUUUAUCUCUCAUCGGAGAAACAAAAUUACAAGUUCCCUUUACAUAUGCGCUCCGUGGCCUACUAGCGCGGCCAGCCUAACUAUAGCGAUUGCGGUCUCUUGAUUCCCGAGGCCUCGGAAAGCUCCCGAUUAAUUACUCCCGCGGGUUACUCCGCGAGACACCUCCGAUUAAGCCGUGCGGUCAUCUUCGUCGUCUUCGCCUUGCGUUCUCCAUGCAUGAUGAUGGUGGUGUGUGUGUAAGUGUGGGCAGCGGUAAAACCCGUGUCCUCGUCGGUACACGUGCCGCUUAAAACAUGGCUCUGUGCUAGCCACGUUCGCCCUUGCUGUCAUGCCUCGUCAGUCUUGACAGCGUUGAUGUAGUUGGUGUUGGAGUAGCAUGGGUCCUGCUUGGCUCGGACUUCCUGACGAUGUAGCGGCUUCAUCGGGGUAUGCAAAGGGUUGCCUCGCGGGAGUAUUCUUUUAUGGAGACCGGCGUCAGUGUAAAACCAACGCACGCUCGCAUCGGCAUGGCCGGUGUGGUUGACGCCUCGUCUCGACUACACGCCGGGGUUACGGCGGUUUGUGAAGACAAAGACUCCGCCUCACGAGGCCGUGAAAGGUAACAUCUUGGAGGGGCGCGGUGUAUGCCUCGUCUUGGCUAGACGCCGUAUUCGGUGGUCUGACAAAACAAGGAUCACACCGCGGGGCCGAAGAAAGGUGACAUCACGGAGGGGCGUGGUUGAUGCCCCGUCUCAACUAGACGCCGUAUUCGGUGGUCUGCUAAGACAAGGAUCACGCCACCCGUACGACAAACGAGACCUGAUGCAAUGAAGGGUGCACCUCGUCUCGUUUGGACGCUGUAUUCGGUGGUCCAACAAGACAAGGGCAAAGCAUCGCGGUGCCGAAGAAAGGUGACAUCAUGGAAGGGCGUGGUUGAUACCCCGUUCUAGCUAGACGCCGUAUUCGGUGGUCUGCUAAGACAAGGGGCACACUGCCUGUACGCCGAGACCUGUACGCCAUGAAGAGUGCACCUCGUCUCGGCUGGACAUCGUAUUCGGUGGUCCACCAAGACAAAGGAAACACAUCGCAUGAUCGUGGUAAGGGUCGGUGAAGACGUGUCAUCGCGUAGCACCAUCUUCUUCGUAUCGCGGGCUCCGUGUUGCGGGCAGCACCGGGGGCAUGUGUCAUCUUCAUGGACUCCGCGUCGCGGACUCCGUCUUGAUGAGGUAGACAUCGGUGGUGUCGUCCUGCGAGCUCCACGACUCCGUCCACCACAGCACCAGCUUGUUGAUGUUGAUGAUGGGCGUUGUCCUAGCGAGCUCGGUGUCGCCAUCCAACGCGGCAUGGCGGCGACAUCCUUGCGAGCCUCCACACCUUCGUCCUUCGUGGCGCCAGCUUGAUGAAGAAGACGGCAUGGGUCGUCCUAGCGAGCUCCGUCCAUCCACCGCGGCAAGGCGGCGGCAUCCUCGCGAGCCUCCACGCCUCCAGGCUCCAUCUUGACGAAGCAGACGUCGAUGGCGUCCCCAACGAGCGCCACACCUACGUCCUCCUUGCGAGCUCCACACCACAAUCCUCCGCGGCACUGGGUUGAUGAUGUUGGCGAUGGGCCUGGCGUUGUUGAUGCAGGCUCCUUGUCCUGCGUCGUCGUCCGCCGUCUUCAUUGCAUCUGGUACAAGGAAGAGUGCCGCUACGUCCGCGGCCACCACCGCCGGGCGUGUGUCCGCCGCCUCGAUAGCACCUGGUACGAGAAGGGCGCCUCUUCAUCCGCGGCCACCUCCGUUGGCCGUGUCGUUCGCCUCCUCAACUAUGAGAAGAGUGCUGCAUCGUCCUUGGCCACUUCUGCUAGGCGCGUCGUGCGGAGGUCAUUCUGCAAAAUAGAUGAUAACACAUAGAAAAAGAAAGAUUAUUGCACCGCCAAAAGUCCUCCCGCGGGCACGUUCAUCUUCUUUUCGAUGCUCUGCUUCCGUGUGAGGAUGUCGUCGCUGCAUCCCCUUGGCGUACGCGUCGCCGCAUGGGUGCACCCUCCGAUAUCCUCGACGUUGUGGCCAGGGGCGCGUCUCCUCGUCUUCUUUGUGCGUGCGGGAGCCUGCGGAUGUGUGCUUGUUGCUGGCUCUCAUGGAUGUGUUCUCGCCUCCUUUCUCUUGCUCGACGCUGCCACCUCGGCGCGUCUCUUUCCCUCCGUGCGAUCGACGUCGCGGUGAACCUGCUUAAAAAAAGUAUUAUACGUACCAUAGAUGCAUGCAUGCAGUUGCUAUCCAUUGCAAUGCACAACCGUCAUCUCGGCAACGUGCUCGGCACCACGACGCGUCAGUCGGACGCGGCCGGCGAGGCGGCACCUCCCUCUAAAUCCUCUGGGGUUGGCGGCCUCCUUGUCUCCUCUGCCUCCAGUCUUUGCCUGGCCUUCUCACGUAGCACUGAAAGACAUAGUAACAAAAUAAUUAGUCAGCGGAGCUCUCUCCCGUUUCUUCAUCUCCUCGGCGCCUGCAGCUCGCCGUGGCCAGCUUCUUCCUCCUGAGCUUCGUGUGUUGGCGAACGCGCGGCCACGGGCGCGCUGUCACCUCCUGCGCUGCGUUCCUUCUCUCCUUUGUUCCGUAGACGCCGCCGCGACGGGCAUGUCUUCGCUUCGUGCCCUGCAUGGGGUUGUUUUUUGCCGCCCUGGUCGAGAACUUCUGCCUUUAUUUAUAGGCGUGGAGAGAUUAAGGUUGCCCAGCCGGAGCGAUGUACACGUCCGUGAGAUUUACUUUCCUUUUUUUCUCUCAUGCCGUGCCGUACGAGAUGUUCGCUUGCCUAUUGGGCGCAUCCAGAUCUUUACUUUCUAAAUACUCUAUUUGAUUCCAUGCCUAAGCAGCCUCGUACAAGCUCAAAGGUAUUUUUUUAGGAUAGCUCACAAAGGUAUGUUACACCCGAUGCCAGCAUAUCCAUCCAAACACGCGCACCCCAAUCCAUAACAAGCGUGGCGGGUACUGUUCGUGUAUCUGCCGGCGUGCCGGCCGGUAUACGGGUAUUUGGUCAUGUAUUUGUACGCGCUUGACAUACGUGUGCAUGGAUGUAUUUAUUUAUCAUGCUGGGCUAAUUUUAACUAGCCGGCCAUUAGUCCAUUAACGAUUACUUUGGGCGAAGUGUAGUUCAUAAGCCCACGCACAUGCAAUAUAGGCGCCAUGCACACGCAAUAUAGGUGGGCACACAUAAGCACUUCUUGCUCCAUGUGACCUAAAUAUUAUUGGUAGAGGUAAUAUCAUCAGUGGUGCUUAAACUUGUCACCAAUGUUCACUUUAGUGCAUGAACUUGAAAAAUACGUCCAAAUGGUUCUAGAACUUGGCACAAGCGUGCAAAUACGGUGCUAAUCCAAUCCGCAGACAUAUAAUGCACUGACGUGCACCGUAUUUUGUUUAGCAUGUACAUGGGACUCACUUUCAACAGAUGGCUUGCUAUAUAUAUGUCUCUAUGAUUAGUGGGACCCAAAAUCAACGUCAAAAAUUGGAGCCACUAUGACUCGGACUUGCGAUGUGGGGCUAGCAAAGGCCUGCCAAAGGUCUUCCGUAGGAACACAUUCGUGGCUUUGAAAUGGACUGUAAUCAGUGCAGCCCAUUUCGCACAUGUUAAAUCUUUUUUAGAAAUUGGUAACAGUUUCGUAAACUAAUAUUACAGUAAAUAAAUUUUGAGUAUUUAUGUGUUAUAAAUAUUAUACGUAUGAAUAAAAUAACUUAUUAAAAAAAUGUCCUUGUAAGUUUUAAAAAUAUUCACUCAUUUACAUGCGGAUUAUAUUGAAAUAAAUUAGUUAAUACUCCAUCCAUUCCCUAAUAUAAGACCUUUUAGCUUUUUCUUGAUUCCUAUGUACCUAGACACAUUUUAGUAUGCAUGUUCACACAUUUCAAUAUGUAUGUAGUCAAUAUUUUGAAAUAGCUAAAAGGUCAAGGAACGGAGGAAGUACCAAACUACUAAGUAUUUAGUAAAUGUAAGAAAAAGUACCUCAUGGCUUGUAUUUACAUUGUACAAAAUUGUGGAUACAAACAUUUUUAUUAAUAUUCAUUGGUGAUAACUUUACCUGAUGUAUACAUUUAUAAAAACGUUAAAUAUUAAAAAUAAUAAAUAUUCUUUAGUUGACACGAAAGCAUGAGUAAUGAAUUGGUAUGGGUCGGCGCUAGCUAGCUUGGCUUUGUAAGUUAGAUUCCUGGCGGGGACUGUUUUUAUCGUUUAAUUUCUCUUUAUUUUGACAUGUGGGGCCCAUUGGUCAUGGAGACUCACAUUAAUGCUAAUCAAAAUAUGGUGCCACGUAGCACAUUAUACGUCCGCAGGUUGGAUAAGCACCGUAUUUGCACUCUCGUGUCAAGUUCUAGAACCAGUUCAUCGUAUUUUUCAAGUUUAGGCACUAAAGUGAACAUUGGUGACAAGGUUAAACACUACUAGUGAUAUUACCUCUUAUUGGUACAAGUUACCAUUUAGAAAACUCUUUUUUUACAGAGAAAGUAUCCUUCCUCCUUACUUUCAUAUUAUUUAUAGUGCAAAAUCUCAUCGAACAUAGUACAAGUUGCACGUUCAUAUCUCGAAGUACAGCGUUUCUUGCACCAAUUAGGUAAAGCUACCUUCAGCAACAGGCUGUAGAAUGCAGCAGACAGACGCCACUCCAGUCCAAUGCGGCAGUGCACCAAUAGGAGAACACUACUCGCUUUGCCGGAAAAUGCACAGGAGCUCAUGGGUGCUCCACUCCCUAUAUGAAUACCAACUUCAAAAAAUAACAGGAAGAUUCGAAAAAAUCUGAAAUUUUGGGAUAUCAAACAUGGAUGCCCAAUCUACUCCCGUGUGAAGUUUCAUGAAAAGAUACCAAAAAAUGUAUCAGUGACGAAGAAAAUCAGUCCGACCUACGAUCCACCCAAACAGUUUUUUUGUACAUAUGAUUUUUUGUCUUUUCUACUGAGAGUAUCACGAAUGCCAUUUUUUCGCGGAACAUCGCACGGGAGUAGAUUGGACACCCAGGUUUGAUAUCCCAAAAUCCGAGUUUUUUUUUAAAUUUUCUGAUAUUUUUUUGAAUUUAAUGUUCAUAUAGUGGGGUGGAGCACCCAGGAGCCAAAAAUUUGCGUCCUCACUUUGCCUCUUCUUCUUCUUCUUCUUCUUCUUGCUAUGGCAUGAUUAACAGAAAAUGGAGGUAAGGCCCACCCACAUGAAUCUUAUUCUGAUUAUAUCGACAUGGGCAAAUACUAUGUUCAAUAGCUAUAAUAAUACAUUAUAGCUAACAAUCAUCUUGUGUCUGCGGAAAUACCACUCCUCCGGAAAGGAGGAAGGAGAAACGAGUCGACCAUGUGGUUGUGCAUCUGCCUGCACAAACGGUCGAGCACCUGGCGUUCAACUUGAAUGGAAGACGUGGGAGUACCUCUCGUCCCCGCACCAACCAUCUUGCUGCCACCGAGCACCUGUGCGCAGUCACCACCCGGUGCCGAGAUUGCCAUGGCCUCACAUUGCUCCGAGCUUCAAUUCUUGGGCAACCCUGUGACCAACCAUGCCCAGAGCGCGGAGCAGCACAAUCAAGAUGUCAACUCUCUCGGUCAUUUCCUCCAGGAAGACCGCCGAGGCCAUUGACAUACUCAAGCUCAUGUUGUCGACAUUCUUGGUCGCGCUGUGUGAGGCUGUCGACCUCCGCCACCUCGAGGAGAAUGUCAAGAAUGCUGUCAAGAGCUGUGUAAAGACGGUGGCUAGAAAGACAUUGAGCACCAAUAACAAUGCCCAUCUGCACAAUGCGCGCACCAACUAUCUGCGGGUUCGCAUACGCGGACGACCCUUGCAGCACCAACUAUCCACACAUGCAGAAGAUGCUUGCAGUUCUUGUGGAUCACACAUUGGCCAAUGGUGAGGCCGAGCGCGAUGUGGAGACAUCAGCGUUUGCCAAGUUUGCCACCUUUGAGCAGGAGCUCCGUGCAGUGCUGCCAAGGGAGGUCGAGUCUGCCCGGAGUGUCGUGGAGAAUGGCACUGCUGUACAACAGAACCAUAUCAGCGAAUGUAGGUCCUACCCGCUCUAUUGGUUCGCGCGCAAGGAGUUGGGAACUGAGUAUUUGACUGGGGAGAAGACACGGUCUCCCGGUGAAGAGGUGAACAAGGUGUUCAUUGCCAUGAACAAGGGCAAGCUCAUCGAUGCGCUGCUCGAGUGCCUUGAGGAGUGGAAUGGUGAGCCUCUGCCUUUCUGCUGAACAGAAUGUCCAGAAAGUGAAGAGUAGUGUACUUCAGAAGGCCUAAGAUGUGCUGAUAAGUGAUAAUAUUGUUUUUCGUUGCAUUUCUUCAAAGUCGAUGUUUGGUAGCGUUCUUAUAGAGCUGCCAUGUUGUUACCAAAAAUUGCAAUUGCAUGACUUGAUAGUGGUAGGUACCCAGUAGAACUUCUAUGAUGUAAGUUAAACAGAUGAGUGGCCUGCUGAGGAGAGGAUAUAAUGUGUGAUGAAUAUUUAUGGUAAAUGCAGUGCUUCAUUUUUUGAGAUCACUAGUACGUUUUUUUAAAUAGAUCAGUAGUCUGGUUUGUCUUAAGAUAACUCCCGGCAAUGCAAAGUAUCUUGUUUUUAACCGUAGAGAGAAUCUAUUCGUUGGCAUGCCAUAUGGUUUGUAGAUCUCAUGCAUCUAUAUGAGCCAUGGAGACAGGGUCGUCCAAGGGCCUGUGCGAGCUGUGCGCUCGCACAGGGCCCCCAAAAUCGAGGCCCCCCGAUUUAGGGCCAUAUACGUGUAUGAAUAGUCCGAAAAAUUAGAUCAGUUUUGGGCCAUUCGUUGCAUCUGUGUGUGGUCUGAGGGCUGAAAACACUCCAUUCGGCCUUCCUGGGCCUGGUCCGCUCAAGGCCUCGAGCCAUACGCGCUGUCCAUCCUCGCGUGGAUCGAUCUGAGAGAUGUUAGAUGAAAAGACAGCCCUAGGCCCCUAGCGCAGUACGUGUACAUACGUUCCGUGACUUCUGCCAUUCCCUAAUCUCUCCGCUUUCCAUCUGAUUCCUCUGCGGCUGUGCGAUUUAUCUUUUCGGGACGACUGAAUCGGUGGCUCGGCGGCGAUUGCUUUGCAGCCAGGCGAUGGCGGAAGGGGAACUGGACGGGACUUGCGACCGCUGGAUGCCGUCGCGCCAUCCGACACUGCUGCGGUGCCGCCGAACAGAAGGCCAACGGCCAACAGUAACCGAUGCCCUACGCGUCUCCUCUUUUCUCUAAUUUUGAUACAAACUGCAAAGUUGUGUUAAGAUUUUACUUAUAUGUUUUGGAAUGAUCUUUUGUCAAGUUGUUGAAUUUCAAAAGUUGUCACACAUUCAAGAUUUUUUUUAGAGCGGAGGCACAUGUCCGGCCUUAAACUGAGGCCCUUACACACAGUCACACACACGGCAGAGGUUCAGGCCACAAAAGGAAAGGAGUCUAAACGGGAAACUAGGGAUACAUGACCAUACAGGUCCGAUGCCACGACGCAGCGUGCAUAUUCCGCCUACAUGGGUGUGGAAGGCUGGGCGGUCCCCGCACCGGUGUGAUCCCGCCUUCGCACCCGUCGUAGCUCAGCACACCUGGCCUGGAGGCUGCCUGCGAGCUGCUCCACCUUUCCUUGCUCUGAGGGUCUUGCCAGAAGCUUCCGUAGCUGCAAAAAGAUAACCAGGUUGUAUAUAACAUCAGCUGGGUGCUUAAAGAAUUUUCCCUCUAUUAGCGCUUUAUUACGAGUAGUCCACUGGGCCCAGGCUAUCGCCCCAAACCCCACCCAAGCCGGUCUACGCUCUUGCCCAUGUGUGUUGUUGAUCAACUGGAACACAUCUACUACCGAUCCCGGGUUCCAUGCGCAGCCAGUGGCCGCACGGAGCACACUCCACGCAAAUCUAGCAACGAUGCACCGAAAAAUGAUAUGAUCACUUGUUUCAUCCUCGCCACACCACACGCACUUGCCGUCACCCGGGCCAUUGCGUUUCUGCACUUGAUCCCCAAUAGGGAUCCUAUUUCUCACUAGUUGCCAACGGAAGAUUUUUAUUUUUGUUGGCAUUCUCGCCUUCCAAAGCCCACUCAAGUCACACGGCUGCGCCGAUCGAAAAAUCUCCUUGUACAGGGAUCCUGUCGAGAACUCUCCGGAUGGCGCAAGCGACCAGGUCACCUCGUCCCUGUCGUGGGAGAUCCUGCAGCCAGCCAGAUCGAGACUCAGCUGCUCCCAUUCUCUGGACUCCACCGGGCCUAGAAGGCGUCGGAAACGUGGUAGCCAGCGACCAUUACUCCAAGCUUCCAUCACUCUGGCCUCCGGCCGCUCGGCGAUGGCGAACAAUGCCGGGAAGCGAACCCCCAACGGCUCCUCCCCACACCAAGUAUCCUGCCAAAACAAGGCCACCCGCCCGCCUUUCACCUGAAAACGUGUCCCUAGUCUCAGCAGAGAUUGCACCUUCCUGAUCCCUUUUGCAAAAUGGGACAGUUUAAUGCUUCGGCGGAAGUCCGUCCCCCCUUCCGUCAAAUAUUUCUUUCUAAAGAUAUCGAGCCAUAGGCCACCUUGCCCGAUCAGAAUUUUCCAUGCCCAUUUCGCAAUGAGGCACCAAUUCAUCACUCUGGUGUUGAUCACCCCUAAUCCAUCUCGCUCCUUAGGAGUGCAAGUAUGUUCCCAUUUAACCAUGGGGUACCUUUGUUUGCCCUACUCUUUAGCCCCAAAAAAAAUCUGGAUCUCACCCUAUCCAUCUUCUCAUGUAUGCCAUCUCGAAGCAAAUAGAAACCCAUAAUAAACAUCGAGAUAUUCGUAAGACAAUCAUUAAUGAGCACAAGCCUGCCACCCGAGGCUAAUAGUCAUUUUGAUUGUUAGUCCAGGUAAACCUGGCACUAUUUCUCUGUAGUUCAAUGAGCUCAAGGUUCGCCGCCCAAUCAUUAAACAUCACCACAAGGCGGUGGUUAUUAAUGUGUAGAUUUCUAUUAUCUGCCGAACUGCGAAGCAAGUUGAAGUCCCCCUAAUCACAAUUGGGCAAGUGGCUAUAGAAAUCUUGUCUUGUAUUUUCCUCAAAAAGUCCGCCGAGCGAGCAUGAUCAACGGGGCCGUACACCACCUGCAGCUCCCACUGGAAACGGUUGUUCUUUUGAAUGACCUCUACGGCAAGGAAGAAUUCCCCUCUAGAAAACUGGAUUAUUUCAAACGCCUCGGAACUCCGGCCGAGGAAGAUGCCUCCAGAGCGCCCUCAAGAUGGAAGCCAUUCCCACCUAAAGCGUGUCAUUCCUCCUAAUGAGUCAAGUUCGAGUUGGGAGAAGGAAGUCCUGAAUGUUUCCUGUAAACCCACAAACUCCAUCCGUUGCUCGCGGAUAUACUCGAUCAACUGACGCCUCCUGUCAAGUUGGCCGAACCCCCGCAAGUUCCAAAAUAAGCCUCUCAUUGUGCCCCAAUGGGGGAUCGGGCCCCCGCCCCCUCCACCGGUGUCUAGUCGAUCGACCUCUCCCUCUACCGCGGCAACGGCCACUUCCCCGACCGCGUGAUGCGCGACCGCGAGUUGACGUCACUGCCCUCUCCCUGGCAGGGACGUCAGACGCAGCCACGCGUGCCUCGGCCGCCAACGUGCGGGCGAUAUCCCGCUUCGCGACACUCUCUGUCACCUGCGCUUGGACCAAUUCUUGCGCACGGAAGCGAUCAGGCAUUUCUAGUGGAGUCACAUUAGCAUUACCCAACAGCACAUGACUAUCUGACGCCACUUUAAGCAGAUGUGAGUCCGAAGCAAGAGCUAAAACCUUAAAAGACGACAUUUAUCGAGUUAUGGGUUUGGAAAAUAUACCUGGUGUGGACUGGCUGCCUUUAGGGUCAUAGCUUUUGCCAUCAUGUCAGAUGUCUUGGCGUUUGCCGUCCUGGUACUUGAACGCGCUGUUAGGGAACGUAGUAAUUUCAAAAAAAUUCCUACGCACACGCAAAAUCAUGGUGAUGCAUAGCAACGAGAGGGGAGUGUGUCCACGUACCCUCGUAGACCGAAAGCGGAAGCGUUAGCACAACACGGUUGAUGUAGUCGUAUGUCUUCACGAUCCGACCGAUCAAGUACCGAACGCACGGCACCUCCGAGUUCAACACACGUUCAACUCGAUGACGUCCCUCGAACUCCGAUCCAGCCGAGCUUUGAGUGAGAGUUCCAUCAGCACGACGGCAUGGUGACGAUGAUGAUGUUCUACCGACGCAGGGCUUCGCCUAAUCACUGCUACGAUAUGACCGAGGUGGAUUAUGGUGGAGGGGGGCACCGCACACGGCUAAGAGAUCCAAUGGAUCAAUUGUUGUGUCUCUAGGGGGUGCCUCCCUCCCCGUAUAUAAAGGAGUGGAGGAGGGAGGGGCCCGGCCACCCUUGGCGCGCCCCAUGAGGAGUCCUACUCCCACCGGGAGUAGGACUCCCCCCUUCCAUGUUGGAGUAGGAGAGGAGAGGGAAGGAGAGAGAGGGGGAAAGGAAAGGGGGGGCGCCCCCCUCCUUGUCCAAUUCAGACUUGGGAGGAGGGGCGCGCGGCUGCCCCUUGGCCGCCUCUCCUCUUCCACCACUUGGGCCCAUGAGACCCAGUAACCUGGGGGGGGGGGUUCCGGUAACCCCCGGUACUCCGGUAUAUAUCCGAUGACCCCCGGAACCAUUUCGGUGUCCGAAUAUAGUCGUCCAAUAUAUCAAUCUUCAUGUCUCGACCAUUUCGAGACUCCUCGUCAUGUCCGUGAUCGCAUUCGGGACUCCGAACUACCUUCGGUACAUCAAAACACAUAAACUCAUAAUAUAACCGUCAUCGAACUUUAAGCGUGCGGACCCUACGGGUUCGAGAACUAUGUAGACAUGACCGAGACACAUCUCCGGUCAAUAACCAGUAGCGGAACCUGGAUGCUCAUAUUGGCUCCCACAUAUUCUACGAAGAUCUUUAUCGGUCAAACCGCAUAACAACAUACGUUGUUCCCUUUGUCAUCGGUAUGUUACUUGCCCGAGAUUCGAUCGUCGGUAUCUCAAUACCUAGUUCAAUCUCGUUACCGGCAAGUCUCUUUACUCGUUCCGUAAUACAUCAUCCCGCAACUAACUCAUUAGUUGCAAUGCUUGCAAGGCUUAUAGUGAUGUGCAUUACCGAGUGGGCCCAGAGAUACCUCUCCGACAACUGGAGUGACAAAUCCUAAUCUUGAAAUACGCCAACCCAACAAGUACCUUCGGAGACACCUGUAGAGCACCUUUAUAAUCACCCAGUUACGUUGUGACGUUUGAUAGCACACAAAGUGUUCCUCCGGUAAACGGGAGUUGCAUAAUCUCAUAGUCAUAGGAACAUGUAUAAGUCAUGAAGAAAGCAAUAGCAACAUACUAAACGAUCAAGUGCUAAGCCAACGGAAUGGGUCAAGUCAAUCACAUCAUUCUCCUAAUGAUGUGAUCCCGUUAAUCAAAUGACAACUCAUGUCUAUGGUUAGGAAACAUAACCAUCUUCGAUUAACGAGCUAGUCAAGUAGAGGCAUACUAGUGACACUAUGUUUGUCUAUGUAUUCACACAUGUAUUAUGUUUCCAGUUAAUACAAUUCUAGCAUGAAUAAUAAACAUUUAUCAUGAUAUAAGGAAAUAAAUAAUAACUUUAUUAUUGCCUCUAGGGCAUAUUUCCUUUAGUCUCCCACUUGCACUAGAGUCAAUAAUCUAGAUUACACAGUAAUGAUUCUAACACCCAUUGAGUCUUGGUGCUGAUCAUGUUUUGCUCGUCGAAGAGGCUUAGUCAACGGGUCUGCAACAUUCAUAUCCGUAUGUAUCUUGCAAAUCUCUAUGUCUCCCACCUGGACUUGAUCCCGGAUGGAGUUGAAGCGUCUCUUGAUGUGCUUGGUUCUUUUGUGAAAUCUGGAUUUCUUUGCCAAAGCAAUUGCACCAGUAUUGUCACAAAAGAUUUUCAUUGGACCCGAUGCACUAGGUAUGACACCUAGAUUGGAUAUGAACUCCUUCAUUUGCUGCUUCCGAAGCAGCUAUGUACUCCGCUUCACAUGUAGAUCCCGCUACGAUGCUUUGUUUAGAACUACACCAACUGACAGCUCCACCGUUCAAUAUAAACACGUAUCCGAUUUGCGAUUUAGAAUCGUCCAGAUCAGUGUCAAAGCUUGCAUCGACGUAACCAUUUACGACGAGCUCUUUGUCACCUCCAUAAACGAGAAACAUAUCCUUAGUCCUUCUCAAGUAUUUCAGAAUGUUCUUGACCGCUGUCCAGUGAUCGACUCCUGGAUUACUUUGGUACCUCCCUGCUAAACUAAUAGCAAGGCACACAUCAGGUCUGGUACACAACAUUGCUUACAUGAUAGAGCCUAUGGCUGAAGCAUAGGGAACAUCUUUCAUUUUCUCUCUAUCUUCUGCAGUGGUCGGGCAUUGAGUCUUACUCAACUUCACACAUUGUAACACAUGCAAGAACCCUUUCUUUGCUUGAUCCAUUUUGAACUUCUUCAAAACUUUGUCAAGGUAUGUGCUUUGUGAAAGUCCUAUCAAGCUUCUUGAUCUAUCUAUAUAGAUCUUGAUGCCCAAUAUAUAAGCAGCUUCACCGAGGUCCUUCAUUGAAAAACUCUUAUUCAGAUAUCCCUUUAUGCUAUCCAGAAAUUCUAUAUCAUUUUUGAUCAACAAUAUGUCAUCCACAUAUAAUAUCAGAAAUGCUACAGAGCUCCCACUCACUUUCUUGUAAAUACAGGCUUCUCCAAAAGUCUGUAUAAAACCAUAUGCUUUGAUCACACUAUCAAAACGUUUAUUCCAACUCCAAGAGGCUUGCACCAGUCCAUAAAUGGAUCCCUGGAGCUUUCACACUUUGUUAGCUCCCUUUGGAUCGAAAAAACCUUCCGGUUGCAUCAUAUUCAACUCUUCUUCCAGAAAUCCAUUCAGGAAUGCAGUUUUCACAUCCAUUUGCCAAAUUUCAUAAUCAUAAAAUGCGGCAAUUGCUAACAUGAUUCAGACAGACUAAGCAUCGCUACGGGUGAGGAAGUCUCAUCGUAGUCAACCCCUUGAACUUGUCGAAAACCUUUUGCAACAAGUCGAGUUUUAUAGACAGUAACAUUACCGUCAGCGUCAGUCUUCUUCUUGAAGAUCCAUUUAUUCUCGAUGGCCUGCCGAUCAUCGGGCAAGUCAACCAAAGUCCACACUUUGUUCUCAUACAUGGAUCCCAUCUCAGAUUUCAUGGCCUCAAGCCAUUUUGUGAAAUCUGGGCUCACCAUCGCUUCUUCAUAGUUCGUAGGUUCGUCAUGGUCUAGUAACAUAACCUCCAUUACAGGAUUACCGUACCACUCUGGUGUGGAUCUUACUCUGGUUGACCUACGAGGUUCAGUAACAACUUGAUCUGAAGUUUCAUGAUCAUCAUCAUUAAUUUCCUCAUUAAUUGGUAUAGACGUCACAGGAACCGGUUUCUGUGAUGAACUACUUUACAAUAAGGGAGCAGGUACAGUUACCUCAUCAAGUUCUACUUUCCUCCCACUCACUUCUUUCGAAAGAAACUCCUUCUCUAGAUAGGAUCCAUUCUUGGCAACAAAUGUAUUGCCUUCGGAUCUGUGAUAGAAGGUGUACCCAACAGUUUCCUUUGGGUAUCCUAUGAAGACACAUUUCUCCGAUUUGGGUUCGAGCUUAUCAGGUUGAAGCUUUUUCACAUAAGCAUUGCAACCCCAAACUUUAAGAAACGACAACUUUGGUUUCUUGCCAAACCACAGUUCAUAAGGCGUCUUCUCAACGGAUUUUGAUGGUGCCCUAUUUAACGUGAAUGCGGCCGUCUCUAAAGCAUAACCCCAAAACGAUAGCAGUAAAUCAGUAAGAGACAUCAUAGAUCGCACCAUAUCUAGUAAAGUACGAUUACGACGUUCGGACACACCAUUAUGUUGUGGUGUUCCGGGUGGCGUGAGUUGCGAAACUAUUCCGCAUUGUUUCAAAUGUAGACCAAACUCGUAACUCAAAUAUUCUCCUCCACGAUCAGAUCGUAGAAACUUUAUUUUCUUGUUACGAUGAUUUCCAACUUCACUCUGAAAUUCUUUGAACUUUUCAAAUGUUUCAGACUUAUGUUUCAUUAAGUAGAUAUACCCAUAUCUACUUAAAUCAUCUGUGAAGGUGAGAAAAUAACGAUACCCGCCAUGAGCCUCAACAUUCAUUGGACCACAUCCAUCAGUAUGUAUGAUCUCCAAUAAAUCAGUUGCUCGCUCCAUAGUUCCGGAGAACGGCGUUUUAGUCAUCUUGCCCAUGAGGCAUGGUUUGCAAGUACCAAGUAAUUCAUAAUCAAGUGAUUCCAAAAGUCCAUCAGUAUGGAGUUUCUUCAUGCGCUUUACACCAAUAUGACCCAAACGGCAGUGCCGCAAAUAAGUUGCACUAUCAUUAUCAAUUCUGCAUCUUUUGGCUUCAACAUUAUGAAUAUUGGUAUCACUACUAUCGAGAUUCAUGAAAAAUAGACCACUCUAGAAGGAUGCAUGACCAUAAAAGAUAUUACUCAUAUAAAUAGAACAACCAUUAUUCUCUGAUUUAAAUGAAUAACCGUCUCGCAUUAAACAAGAUCCAGAUAUAAUGUUCAUGCUCAACGCUGGCACCAAAUAACAAUUAUUUAGGUCUAAUACUAAUACCGAAGGUAGAUGUAGAGGUAGCGUGCCGACGGCGAUCACAUCGACUUUGGAACCGUUUCCCACGCGCAUCGUCACCUUGUCCUUAGCCAGUGUCCACUUAAUCCGUAGUCCCUGUUUCGAGUUGCAAAUAUUAGCAACGGAACCAGUAUCAAAUACCCAGGUGCUACUGCGAGCUCUGGUAAGGUACACAUCAAUAACAUGUAUAUCACAUAUACCUUUUUUCACCUUGCCAUCCUUCUUAUCGGCCAAAUACUUGGGGCAGUUCCGCUUCCAGUGACUAGUCUGCUUGAAGUAAAAGCACUCAGUCUCAGGCUUAGGUCCAGACUUGGGUUUCUUCUCCUGAGCAGCAACUUGUUUGCUGUUCUUCUUGAAGUUCCCCCUUUUCUUCCCUUUGCCCUUUUUCUUGAAACUGGCGGUCUUAUUGACCAUCAACACUUGAUGCUCCUUCUUGAUUUCUACCUCCGCAGCCUUUAGCAUUGCGAAGAGCUCGGGAAUUGUCUUAUCCAUCCCUUGCAUGUUAUAGUUCAUCACGAAGCUCUUGUAACUUGGUGGCAGUGAUUGAAGAAUUCUGUCAAUGACGCUAUCAUCCGGAAGAUUAACUCCCAGUUGAAUCAAGUGAUUGUUAUACCCAGACAUUCUGAGUAUAUGCUCACUGAAAGAACUAUUCUCCUCCAUCUUGCAGCUGUAGAACUUAUUGGAGACUUCAUAUCUCUCAAUCCGGGCAUUUGCUUGAAAUAUUAACUUCAACUCCUGGAACAUCUCACAUGCCCCAUGACGUUCAAAACGUCGUUGAAGUCCCGGUUCUAAGCCGUAAAGCAUGGCACACUGAACUAUCGAGUAGUCGUUGAUACGUCUCCAACGUAUCUAUAAUUUAUGAAGUAUUCAUGCUAUUAUAUUAUCUGUUUUGGAUGUUUAUGGGCUUUAUUAUGCACUUUUAUAUUAUUUUUGGGACUAACCUAUUAACCCAAAGCCCAGUGCCAGUUUUUGUUUUUCCCUUGUUUCAGUGUUUCGCAGAAAAGGAAUAUCAAACGGAGUCCAAACGGAAUGAAACCUUCGGGAAAGUUAUUUUUGGAACGGAAGCAUUCCAGGGGACUUGGAGUGCACGUCAGGGAAUCAACGAGGAAGGCACGAGGCAGGGGGCGCGCCCACCCCCCUGUGCACGCCCUCCACCCUCGUGGCUCCUCUGACGUACUUCUUCCUCCUAUAUAUACCAAUAUACCCUAAAACCUUCGGGGAACAGAAUAGAUCGGGAGUUCCGCCACCGCAAGCCUCUGUAAACACCAAAAACCAAUUGGGACCCUGUUCCGGCACCCUGCCGGAGGGGGGAUCCCUCACCGGUGGCCAUCUUCAUCAUCCCGACGCUCUCCAUGACGAGGAGGGAGUAGUUCACCCUCGGGGCUGAGGGUAUGUACCAGUAGCUAUGUGUUUGAUCUCUCUCUCUCUCUCUCUCUCGUGUUCUUGAGGUGAUACGAUCUUGAUGUAUCGCGAGCUUUGCUAUUAUAGUUGGAUCUUAUGAUGUUUCUCCCCCUCUACUCUCUUGUAAUGGAUUGAGUUUUCCCUUUGAAGUUAUCUUAUCGGAUUGAGUCUUUAAUGAUUUGAGAACACUUGAUGUAUGUCUUGCGUGGGAUAACCAUGGUGACAAUGGGUUAUUCUAUAGAUUCACUUGAUGCAUGUUUUGGUGAUCAACUUGUGGGUUCCGCCCAUGAACCUAUGCAUAGGGGUUGGCACACGUUUUCGUCCUGACUCUUCGGUAGAAACUUUGGGGCACUCUUUGAGGUUCUAUGUGUUGGUUGAAUAGAUGAAUCUGAGAUUGUGUGAUGCAUAUCGUAUAAUCAUACCCACGGAUACUUGAGGUGACAUUGGAGUAUCUAGGUGACAUUAGGGUUUUGGUUGAUGUGUGUCUUAAGGUGUUAUUUUACUACGAACUCUAGGGCUGUUUGUGACACUUAUAGGAAUAGCCCAAUGGAUUGAUUGGAAAGAAUAACUUUGAGGUGGUUUCGUACCCUACCAUAAUCUCUUCGUUUGUUCUCGUCUUUUAGUGACUUUGGAGUGACUCUUUGUUGCAUGUUGAGGGAUAGUUAUAUGAUCCAAUUAUGUUAUUAUUGUUGAGAUAACUUGCACUAGUGAAAGUAUGAACCCUAGGCCUUGUUUCCUAGAAUUGCAAUACCGUUUGUGCUCACUUUUAUCAUUAGUUACCUUACUGUUUUUAUAUUUUCAGAUUACAGAAACCUAUAUCUACCAUCCAUAUUGCACUAGUAUCACCAUCUCUUCGCCGAACUAGUGCACCUAUACAAUUUACCAUUGUAUUGGGUGUGUUGGGGACACAAGAGACUCUUUGUUAUUUGGUUGCAGGGUUGUUUGAGAGAGACCAUCUUCAUCCUACACCUCCCACGGAUUGAUAAACCUUAGGUCAUCCACUUCAGGGAAAUUUGCUACUGUCCUACAAACCUCUGCACUUGGAGGCCCAACAACAUCUACAAGAAGAAGGUUGCGUAGUAGACAUCAAGCAGUUUCUGGCGCCGUUGCCGGGGAGGUGAGUGCUUGAAGGUAUAUCUUUAGAACUUGCAAUCGAAUCUGUUAGUUUCUUGUUUUAUCACUAGUUUAUAUUAUAAAAGAAAACUACAAAAAAAUGGAAUUAAGGGUGCCUCAUAUGCUUCAUCUUUUUAAUAUCUUUCGUGAAAAUGAUGGGAAGGAAAAUUGUGCUCAAGUACUAGAAGAAGAAUUACAUAGAAUGCUUGGAAUAAAAUAUGUGAAUGAUGAGCAUGAUUGCAAUGUUGUUAGUAUGAACUCCUUGAAUAUCCAUAGUACUAAUGAUGAUUGCACUAGUCAUGAUGAAAAUAUCUCUUAUAAGCAUGUCGAUUUUUGUGGAGUGUAUUGGGUUUGCAAGUACACACCAAAUAGGGAAGAUAGAUAUUGCAAGAGGCAAAAGCAUUUAGAAACUAAAUUGUUGCAAGAAAGGCUAGAUGUUUGUGCUAAAAAUUUAAAUUUUCUUAGCCGUACUUGUGAACUUUGCAAUGAACAUGAUCAUUUCAGUACCCAAUGCGAAUUGUUUCAUGAUCAUAUCGUGUCUAAAAAUUGCGAUGACUUGAUUUCCCUUGCACAUCAUAAUGAACUUAGUUUGCUCUUGGGUUAUGAAGAAAUGAAACGUAUAACUAAGGUCAUUCCAGAAUUUGCCCUUGAUAGAAUUCUUCAUUUUGAUCUAGAAGAAAUUUAUAUGCAUUGUGCGGUGAAUUGCCUUGAAAAUCCUUAUAUUGCCAACUACAUAAAGAAAAGAAAAUAAAUAGAAGAUGAAGAAAAUACUAAUGAAAGGGAAGAGACUACCCAAUAUCCUCCUAUUAUUUCUUAUGAUGAAUCAGGUAACGAGGAGGAGCCUUCUAUUCAACCAAUCUCAUUAACAAGGAGCUCCAAAAAGAGGAUUGAACCCACACAUGAUGUGGUGAAGAAGAAGAAAAGAAAAAGGAAGAGAGGUAAAAAGAUAUCUCUCCCAAAUAAUGUUGCUCCUAUUAUUGUUGUGCCUCAUGAAAAUGAAUCAAAAAUAAUUGUGGAAGAUGAUGCACUUGAUGAUGAUCUCGUUAUGCCUAUUGCUUGUUGUGAUGAUUAUGAUUGGGAAGAUAAUAAUACUUCUUAUGAUCUUGAAAAUCUUUUUGGCACUUGCUUGGAAGAAUAUGAUAAUCGCUAUACUAUUGGUGCUAUCCAUACUAUUAAUGAUGAGAGUGAUUAUGCUUAUGAUAUAAAAAGGCCCAAGCUUGGGGAUGCUAUGUUUGAAUAAGAAGAUGUUUUUGAGAAUAUAUUUGCUGCAAUUAAUGUUUGUCCCAAGCUUGGGGAUGCUACGUUUAAUGAAGAUGAUAUUUUUAGUCUCCUAAGUUUUGAUAUGAAAAUUUAUAAUGAUUAUAGAAUGCCUCCUACUUAUGAUGAUUAUAUUGAUGAAAGUGGGUUUGGAAGAGUGUCAACUUUAGGAAGUAAUGAUCCCACUAUUUUGGAGGAUGUUGAAUCUUAUAAUAUUUAUGAAAGUGGAUUUGGAGAGGUCAUGACUUUAUUUAGUGAUGAGUCCACUAUCUUGGAAGAGGUUUCAAUUGAUUAUGAUGAGAACAAAGUUGCUACUUAUGAUGAUUAUUGUGAUGAAACUUAUGCUAUAAAAAGUAGUGAUGAUUAUAUUUAUAAAACUUGUCAUGAUUAUGAUUACCCUUUUUCUGAACAUUACUCUUUUAAUGUGGAAACAAUUUAUAGUAUUCAAGUCUCUUAUGAUACUCCCACUAUUCCGAAUGAGAAGAAUUUUGCUUAUGUGGAGAGUAGUAAAAUUUCUAUGCUUGUAGAUGAUGAAAAGAAUGCUUUAGGUGCUGGUUAUAUUGUUGAAUUCAUUCAUGAUGCUACUGAAAAUUAUUAUGAGGGAGGAAUAUAUGCUUGUAGGAAUUGCAAUAAUAUCAAGUUUCCUCUCUAUGUGCUUAAAGUUUUGAAGUUAUGUUUGUUUUGCCUUCCUAUGCUAGUUGAUUAUUGUUCCCAUAAGUUGUUUGCUCACAAAAUCCCUAUGCAUAGGAAGUGGGUUAGACUUAAAUGUGCUAGUCAUAUUCUUCAUGAUGCUCUCUUUAUGUUUCAAUUCUUAUCUUUUAUGUGAGCAUCAUUGAAAUCAUCAUAACUAGCUAGGGGUGUUAAACGUUAGCGCUUGUUGGGAGGCAACCCAAUUUUAUUUUAGUUUCUUGCUUUUUGGUUCUGUUUAGUAAUAAAUAAUCCAUCUAGCUUCUGGUUAGAUGUGUUUUCAUGUUUUAAUUAGUGUUUGUGCCAAGUAGAACCUUUGGGAAGACUCGGGUGAAGUCUUUAUGAUCAUGCUGUAAAAAACAGAAACUUUAGCGCUCACGAGAUUAGCUUCAACUUUUUACUGGAGAGUGCUAUUUAGUUGAUUCUUUUUUAAGAUGAUUACUAGGAAAAUUCCUCAGGUCCACCAAUUUAUUUUAGAAUUUUUGGAGGUCCAGAAGUAUACGUUUGAUACAGAUUACUACAGACUGUCCUGUUUUUGACAGAUUCUGUUUUUCAUGUGUUGUUUGCUUAUUUUAAUGAAUCUAUGGCUAGUAAAAUAGUUUACAAACCAUAGAGAAGUUGGAAUACAGUAGGUUUAACACCAAUAUAAAUAAAUAAUGAGUUCAUUACAGUACCUUGAAGUGGUGUUUUGUUUUCUUUCGCUAACGGAGCUCACGAGAUUUUCUGUUAAGUUUUGUGUUGUGAAGUUUUCAGUUUUGGGUAAAGAUUCGAUGGACUAUGGAAUACGGAGUGGCAAGAGCCUAAGCUUGGGGAUUCCCAAGGCACCCCAAGGUAAUAUUCAAGGAUAACCAAGAGCCUAAGCUUGGGGAUGCCCCGGAAGGCAUCCCCUCUUUCGUCUUCGUUCAUCGGUAACUUUACUUGGAGCUAUAUUUUUAUUCACCACAUGAUAUGUGUUUUGCUUGGAGCGUCAUUUUAUUUUCUUUAGCUUUGCUUGCUGAUUGAAUAAAAUACCAAGAUCUGAAAGUCUUAAAUGUUAGAGAGUCUUCACAUAGUUACAUAAUUAUUCGACUACUCAUUGAUCUUUACUUAUAUCUUUCGGAGUAGUUUGUUGUUUGCUCAUGUGCUUCACUUAUAUCCUAUGAGUAAAUGGUUGAAUGAUUUGAAUGUAAUAAAUCUGAAAUUAUAUAUGUUUCAUAUGCCUUUCCCAUGGGGAGUAAUGCCUUCACAUAUAAGAAGUAUAGGUGGUAAUUUGUUUGAAGGAUAGCAAACGUUGUAUUGGUCACUUGAACAAUUCAUGAAAGAAUAUUGAAGGAAGAGAGAUUUCACAUAUAAAUAUGCUAUCUUGGACAUCUUCUAUGAUUGUGAGCCCCAUUGGUUAUUUUCAAACCUGAGCAAAUUAGUUGAAGUUGGACAAGGAAGACAACAUAAUGAGUUAUGCUUGGGUAUAUUUGUAUAGAAGUUAUAUUGUUAUGGAUCCUCUAACAUGUGGUGCUUGCUAUUUAGAAUCCUUUGCUAGCCAAAAUAUCUGUACUAAGCGGGAAUACUGCUUGUGCAUCCAAAUUCCUUGAACCAAGUUUCUUCCAUGAGUGUCCACCAUAUCUACCUAUAUGCGGUAUUUACCUGCCGUUCCAAGUAAAUUUGCAUGUGCCAAACUCUAAACCUUCAAAUAAUAAUCUGUUUUGUAUGCCCGAAUCGCUCAUGUAGCGACUAGGGUUAGCAGUAUCUUCCAUGCUAGGUGGGUUAUUCUCACGAUGAGUGGACUCCGCUCAUCAUUCACGAGAAAAUGGCUGGUAACUGGGAUGCCCAGUCCUAUGAUCAAAAGAUCAAAAACAAAUUCGCAAAUAAUUUAAACAAAACUCCCCCAGGGUUGUUGAAAGUUGGACGGCACCCGUUGUUUCGGACAAGCCGUGGAGUGUGAUUGUUGGUGGAGGGGGAGUAAAAUCUUUACCUUUCUGCGUGGGAACCGCCUAUGAUGUAUCUAGUAUGGAAGAUAUUGGGAAUUCUUGGUCGUUAUGUUGACAAUGAAAGCAUACCUCUCAAAAUUAUUUUCAUCUCUGUUUUAGCUUCGAGCUCUGGCACCUCUGCAAAUCCCUGCUUCCCUCUGCGAAGGGCCUAUCUUUUACUUUUAUGCAAGAGUCAGUAGUAUUCCUUCUCAUUCCAACCUACUCUUUAGUUGGCAAGCAUCAUGUGAUGGAAAGAUCUAGGCAUAUAUGGCCAUUAAAAUACAUUUGAGCAUGAAUUAUUACUGUUGACAUUACCCUUGAGGUAAAAGGUUGGGAGGUGAAACAUUAAGCCCCUACCUUUCUCUGUGUUCGAUGAAUACUAUUUGUUCUAAAAAUAUGCUUUGAGUGGUAGCAAUCAUGGAAGACUAAAUGAUAGUUGAGUAUGUGAAGUUUGCUGAAUCAAAGCUCUGACAUAGACUCUUCCUGAAAAUAAGAUGAAUUGCGAUUGUUUGAUGAUUGAGAACAUAGUUUGUUAGUUUUCAAGAAAGUUUAUGAUCUAUACUUUAACAUGUGAAGAGUUUGUUACUUGAUCAUGAAAAGUUCUAUGAGUUGAGCUACUGUUAUGACAUAUGAUGAUGCUAGAAAAGGUGAUUGAAAUUAUCAUUGAUCAAACUUGUGCACCUGCUAGCAUUCACACUUCAUAAAUUAUUUCUUUUAUCAUUUACCUACUCGAGGACGAGCAGGAAUUAAGCUUGGGGAUGCUGAUACGUCUCCAACGUAUCUAUGAUUUAUGAAGUAUUCAUGCUAUUAUAUUAUCUGUUUUGGAUGUUUAUGGGCUUUAUUAUGCACUUUUAUAUUAUUUUUGGGACUAACCUAUUAACCCAGAGCCCAGUGCCAGUUUCUGUUUUUCCCUUGUUUCAGUGUUUCGCAGAAAAGGAAUAUCAAACGGAGUCCAAACGGAAUGAAACCUUCGGGAAAGUUAUUUUUGGAACAGAAGCAAUCCAGGGGACUUGGAGUGCACGUCAGGGAAUCAACAAGGAAGGCAUGAGGCAGGGGGCGCGCCCACCCCCUGGGCGCGCCCUCCACCCUCGUGGGCCCCUCGUGGCUCCGCUGACGUACUUCUUCCUCCUAUAUAUACCAAUAUACCCUAAAACCUUCGGGGAACAGAAUAGAUCGGGAGUUCCGCCGCCGCAAGCCUCUGUAGCCACCAAAAACCAAUUGGGACCCUGUUCCGGCACCCUGCCGGAGGGGGGAUCCCUCACCGGUGGCCAUCUUCAUCAUCCCGACGUUCUCCAUGACGAGGAGGGAGUAGUUCACCCUCGGGGCUGAGGGUAUGUACCAGUAGCUUUGUGUUUGAUCUCUCUCUCUCUCUCUCGUGUUCUUGAGGUGAUACGAUCUUGAUGUAUCGCGAGCUUUGCUAUUAUAGUUGGAUCUGAUGAUGUUUCUCCCCCUCUACUCUCUUGUAAUGGAUUGAGUUUUCCCUUUGAAGUUAUCUUAUCGGAUUGAGUCUUUAAUGAUUUGAGAACACUUGAUGUAUGUCUUGCGUGGGAUAACCAUGGUGACAAUGGGUUAUUCUAUUGAUUCACUUGAUGUAUGUUUUGGUGAUCAACUUGCGGGUUCCGCCCAUGAACCUAUGCAUAGGGGUUGGCACACGUUUUCGUCUUGACUCUCCGGUAGAAACUUUGCGGCACUCUUUGAGGUUCUAUGUGUUGGUUGAAUAGAUGAAUCUGAGAUUGUGUGAUGCAUAUCGUAUAAUCAUACCCACGGAUACUUGAGGUGACAUUGGAGUAUCUAGGUGACAUUAGGGUUUUGGUUGAUGUGUGUCUUAAGGUGUUAUUUUACUACGAACUCUAGGGCUGUUUGUGACACUUAUACGAAUAGCCCAAUGGAUUGAUCGGAAAGAAUAACUUUGAGGUGGUUUCGAACCCUACCAUAAUCUCUUCAUUUGUUCUCCGCUAUUAGUGACUUUGGAGUGACUCUUUGUUGCAUGUUGAUGGAUAGUUAUAUGAUCCAAUUAUGUUAUUAUUGUUGAGAUAACUUGCACUAGUGAAAGUAUGUACCCUAGGCCUUGUUUCCUAAAAUUGCAAUAUCAUUUGUGCUCACUUUUAUCAUUAGUUACCUUGCUGUUUUUAUAUUUUCAGAUUACAAAAACCUAUAUCUACCAUCCAUAUUGCACUUGUAUCACCAUCUCUUCGCCGAACUAGUGCACCUAUACAAUUUACCAUUGUAUUGGGUGUGUUGGGGACACAAGAGACUCUUUGUUAUUUGGUUGCAGGGUUGUUUGAGAGAGACCAUCUUCAUCCUACGCCUCCCACGGAUUGAUAAACCUUAGGUCAUCCACUUGAGGGAAAUUUGCUACUGUCCUACAAACCUCUGCACUUGGAGGCCCAACAACGUCUACAAGAAGAAGGUUGCGUAGUAGACAUUAGUCAUCAGCUUUGCUUUGCCAGACGUUCAUAACAUCUGGUGUUGCUCCUGCAGCAGGUUUGGCACCUAGCGGUGCUUCCAGGACGUAAUUCUUCUGUGCAGCAAUGAGUAUAAUCCUCAAGUUACGGACCCAGUCCGUGUAAUUGCUACCAUCAUCUUUCAACUUGGCUUUCUCAAGGAACGCAUUAAAAUUCAACGGAACAACAGCACGAGCCAUCUAUCUACAACAACAUAGAUAUGCAAAAUACUAUCAGGUACUAAGUUCAUGAUAAAUUUAAGUUCAAUUAAUCAUAUUACUUAAGAACUCCCACUUAGAUAGACAUCCCUCUAAUCAUCUAAGUGGUCACGUGAUCCAAAUCAACUAAACCUUAACCGAUCAUCACGUGAAAUAGAGUAGUUUUCAAUGGUGAACAUCACUAUGUUGAUCAUAUCUACUAUAUGAUUCACGCUCGACCUUUCGGUCUCAGUGUUCCGAGGCCAUAUCUGCAUAUGCUAGGCUCGUCAAGUUUAACCUAAGUAUUCUCCAUGUGCAAAACUGGCUUACACCCAUUGUAGAUGGGCGUAGAGCUUAUCACACCCGAUCAUCACGUGGUGUCUGGGCACGACGAACUUUGGCAACGGUGCAUACUCAGGAAGAACACUUUAUCUUGAAAUUUAGUGAGAGAUCAUCUUAUAAUGCUACCGUCAAUCAAAGCAAGAUAAGAUGCAUAAAAUAUAAACAUCACAUGCAAUCAAUAUAAGUGAUAUGAUAUGGCCAUCAUCAUCUUGUGCUUGUGAUCUCCAUCUCCGAAGCACCAUCAUGAUCACCAUCGUCACCGACGUGACACCUUGAUCUCCAUCGUAGCAUCGUUGUCGUCUCGCCAACUAUUGCUUCUACGACUAUCGCUACCGCUUAGUGAUAAAGUAAAGCAAUUACAGGGCGAUUUCAUUUCAUACAAUAAAGCGACAACCAUGUGGCUCCUGCCAGUUGCCGAUAAUUCGGUUACAAAACAUGAUCAUCUCAUACAAUAAAAUAUAGCAUCAUGUCUUGACCAUAUCACAUCACAACAUGCCCUGCAAAAACAAGUUAGACGUCCUCUACUUUGUUCUUGCAAGUUUUACGUGGCUGCUAUGGGCUGAGCAAGAACCGUUCUUACCUACGCAUCAAAACCAUAACGAUAGUUUGUCAAGUUAGUGCUAUUUUAACCUUCUCAAGGACCGGGCCUAGCCACACUUAGUUCAACUAAAGUUGGAGAAACUGACACCCGCUAGUCACCUGUGUGCAUAGCACGGCGGUAAAACCAGUCUCGCGUAAGCGUACGCGUAAUGUCGGUCCGGGCCGCUUCAUCCAACAAUACCGCCGAACCAAAGUGUGACAUGCUGGUAAGCAGUAUGACUUGUAUCGCCCACAACUCACUUGUGUUCUACUCGUGCAUAUAACAUCUACGCAUAAAACCAGGCUCGGAUGCCACUGUUGGGGAACGUAGUAAUUUCAAAAAAUUCCUACGCACACGCAAGAUCAUGGUGAUGCAUAGCAACGAUAGGGGAGAGUGUGUCCACGUACCCUCGUAGACCGAAAGCGGAAUCGUUAGCACAACGCGGUUGAUGUAGUCGUAUGUCUUCACGAUCCGACCGAUCAAGUACCGAACGCACGGCACCUCCGAUUCAUCACACGUUCAACUCGAUGACGUGCCUCGAACUCUGAUCCAGCCGAGCUUUGAGGGAGAGUUCCAUCAGCACGACGGUGUGGUGACAAUGAUGAUGUUCUACCGACGCAGGGCUCCGCCUAAGCACCGCUACGAUAUGACCGAGGUGGAUUAUGGUGGAGGGGGGAACCGCACACGGCUAAGAGAUCCAAGGGAUCAAUUGUUGUGUCUCUAGGGGGUGCCUCCCUCCCCGUAUAUAAAGGAGUGGAGGAGGGGGAGGGGGCCGGCCACCCUUGGUGCGNNNNNNNNNNNNNNNNNNNNNNNNNNNNNNNNNNNNNNNNNNNNNNNNNNNNNNNNNNNNNNNNNNNNNNNNNNNNNNNNNNNNNNNNNNNNNNNNNNNNNNNNNNNNNNNNNNNNNNNNNNNNNNNNNNNNNNNNNNNNNNNNNNNNNNNNNNNNNNNNNNNNNNNNNNNNNNNNNNNNNNNNNNNNNNNNNNNNNNNNNNNNNNNNNNNNNNNNNNNNNNNNNNNNNNNNNNNNNNNNNNNNNNNNNNNNNNNNNNNNNNNNNNNNNNNNNNNNNNNNNNNNNNNNNNNNNNNNNNNNNNNNNNNNNNNNNNNNNNNNNNNNNNNNNNNNNNNNNNNNNNNNNNNNNNNNNNNNNNNNNNNNNNNNNNNNNNNNNNNNNNNNNNNNNNNNNNNNNNNNNNNNNNNNNNNNNNNNNNNNNNNNNNNNNNNNNNNNNNNNNNNNNCCCAGUACUCCGGUAUAUAUCCGAUAACCCCCGGAACCAUUCCGGUGUCCGGAUAUAGUUGUCCAAUAUAUCAAUCUUCAUGUCUCGACCAUUUCGAGACUCCUCGUCAUGUCCGUGUUCACAUCCGGGACUCCGAACUACCUUAGGUACAUCAAAACACAUAAACUCAUAAUAUAACCGUCAUCGAACUUUAAGCGUGCGGACCCUACGGGUUCGAGAACUAUGUAGACAUGACAGAUACACGUCUCCGGUCAAUAACAAAUAGCGGAACCUGGAUGCUCAUAUUGGCUCCCAAAUAUUCUACAAAGAUCUUUAUCGGUCAAACCGCAUAACAACAUACGUUGUUCCCUUGCUCAUCGGUAUGUUACUUGCCCGAGAUUCGAUCGUCGGUAUCUCAAUACCUAGUUCAAUCUCGUUACCGGCACGUCUCUUUACUCGUUCCAUAAUACAUCAUCCCGCAACUAACUCAUUAGUUGCAAUGCUUGCAAGGCUUAUAGUGAUGUGCAUUACCGAGUGGGCUCAGAGAUACCUCUCCUACAAUCGGAGUGACAAAUCCUAAUCUUGAAAUACGCCAACCCAACAAGUACCUUCGGAGACACCUGUAGAGCACCUUUAUAAUCACCCAGUUACGUUGUGACGUUUGGUAGCACACAAAGUGUUCCUCCGGUAAACGGGAGUUGCAUAAUCUCAUAGUCAUAGGAACAUAUAAGUCAUGAAGAAAGCAAUAGCAACAUACUAAACGAUCAAGUGCUGAGCUAACGGAAUGGGUCAAGUCAAUCACAUCAUUGUCCUAAUGAUGUGAUCCCGUUAAUCAAAUGACAACUCAUGUCUAUGGUUAGGAAACAUAACCAUCUUCGAUUAACGAGCUAGUCAAGUAGAGGCAUACUAGUGACACUCUGUUUGUCUAUGUAUUCACACAUGUAUUAUGUUUCCGGUUAAUACAAUUCUAGAAUGAAUAAUAAACAUUUAUCAUGAUAUAAGGAAAUAAAUAAUAACUUUAUUAUUGCCUCUAGGGCAUAUUUCCUUCACGCGCCGCCUGCAUCGGAGACUCAUGCGCCGCCUCUGGCUAAACGCCCUCCUCUUCACGCAGUCCCUCAAAAGCAGCCUCACACUCCUCGACUGGCAUCAGGUUAUCACUAAAGGCCUCUCCCUCGAAUUGAUCUAGGAGAGUUGUUGGAACCACUGGGGACAGCCGACGCAGCACUCCCGGGGCCCCUGCCGUCUUGGAUACCUUCGUGGACACCGGGAUGGAUGAAGCGGGAGUAAGCUCAACCGUGGUAGCCGAAGUGGGGGUAGACAUGGCACUUGGAAUCGACUCCUGAGAGUUGGCUGCAGUCACCCCGGAGCCUAUGGUCCGUUCCCCAUCCAGCUCAGCAAUCGCCGGGAUGAUUUCCAUGUUGAACGCCUCAUGCCCCUGAGCCGUCACUACUAGGAAAAGGCCUACUAAUGGCGCACCUAUUUUGGCUACUAAUGGCGCACUAUAGGUGCGCCAUUAGUACCACGCCACUAGAAUAUUUUAGUAAUGGCGCACCACAGGUGCGCCAUUAGUAUCUCGCAGGUGCGCCAUUAGUAGCUGGUAUACUAAUGGCGCACCAGAUGGAAGUGCGCCAUUAGUAACAAUUUUUUUUUUAAAAUCGUUUUUUCUUAAUCUCAGGUCACUAUUUCACAUAUGAGAUAUCCAACACAUAUAUAUAUAUAUAUAUAUAUAUAUAUAUAUAUAUAUAUAUAACAAGCAUCCAUAUAACAAUCAUAUCCAACACACAAGUUUCAUCAUAUAUACAUACAUAGCCAACACAUAGUUCCAUCGUUACAUAUUACAAAAGUUUCACAUUGUUCAUCCAACACUGUUAUCCAUCAAUUCACAAAAGUUUCACGUUGAUACAAAAUAAAAACACAAAUGGAAAAGAAGCACUUCAUCCAUGCAAGCUUCCGUGAAUUAAAUCAAAUCUGCAAAAUGAUAAACAAGAAGUUAGAAGAAGAAGAAGAAGAAGAAGAAGAGAAGAAGAAGAAGAAGACUAGAAGAAUACUAGAAGAAGAAGAACACUAGAAGAAUACUAGAAGAAGAAUAAGAAGAAGACUAUAAGCUUAUUAUGUAAACUUGAUCAUUUUGUGCUAACAUAAGUAAUUUUGGAGCUAACCUAUAGAAAACUAAGCAUCUAAGCUCUCUAAGUUAGCAUAUUAGAGCCAACUUAGGUAAAAUGAAGCUAACCUAUGUCAUUUUGGAAAAGAAGAAGAGUAAGAAGAAUAAGAAGAAGACUAUAAGCUUAUUAUGUAAACUUGAUCAUUUUGUGCUAACAUAAGUAAUUUUGGAGCUAACCUAUAGGAAACUAAGCAUAUUAGAGAUAACAUAGGUAACUAAGUAUAUAUAUAUAUAUAUCAUUUUGGAGAUCUGACAUACCUGACAUAGUUCAGUUCUCAUUGUUCUUCUCCUUCUCCUUCCUCAGCCUGAUGCACCAAGAGCGGCGAGGCAGUGGAGGCAGCUGUGGGAUGUAGUCUUCUACCACAAUUGGCGUGGUCAUGUCGCCCAGCUGUGGGAUCGCCGGUGCCACCACCGGUGCGUGGUCAUUGUCAGGCACCACCACCAUCGCGAGGCCACCUUCAGGCAGGACGGGCACGACCAUCGCUAGGUCAUCCUUAGCCACCACCAUCUCUUGCCCAUGGUCAGCCACCACCAUCUCUUGGCCAUGGUCAGCCACCACCAGCGCUAGGUCAUCCUCAGCCUGAUGCCCAUCGUCAUCCUGCAGCUCCUCAUCCCCACUCUGCUCCUCUUCUCCCCCACUCCAGUCCGGAUCAUCCUUCUUGCUGUCUUUGCUGCUGCCAGAAUCGCUGCUGCUUUCGCUAAAGCCAGAAUCGCUGUUGCUUUUGCUACAGCCAUAAUCGUUGCUGCUUUGGCUGUAGCCAGUGUCGCUGCUGCUGCUCCCAUUGCCUGUCCAAAUGCAACAAUGACCGUUAACAAUCGAUGUGAGACAAAGCCAAAUGUAGAGGAAUAAGAAGAGGCAGAACGCACUGGCAUCUUCGUCGUCAGCGUAGCGCAUGCGACACAUAGUCGUGUUGAAAACCUUCACGAUGAGCAUUGUGGCGUCAUCGUCGUACCUGAAGAGAAGAAAGUACCCGGUCCGCAGGUCGUAGGCACUGUAGAACUUCUCCCAGCCACGGCACAGGUACAUGUGGCCCUCCUCGAUCACCAACUCCACGUCCCACAGCCUGCGAACCCCGCUGCCGGCUGUCGGAGCUUAACAUUAUCUGGCAGAUCUUCACCCAGCAUGUUCAUAAAAGUGUCAGGCAACCUCUGCAAUUUGGGACAAGGAGUGAUGUAGCAAACGACAGAGUUAUCAUAAUGAGAUGGGUGAAGGGGAGAUCUCUCGUUUAAUAUACCUGCCUCGUGGCUGAUACUGAAGUCCCAAGUAUGACACUGAAGAACUCGAAAGCAUCCAACUCGUACUCCGGUGAGGCAGAGCGGUGGUGGCUGCUUCCCCCCAUCUCUGAUAAGCAGCAGAAGAGACCAAUUAGUACCAGGAUUAUACAUCGACUAAUUAUACAUCUGACCCAAUUUAUAAAACAUGCGAUGUAUUCCACAAUACAAAGAACAACUACCAUUAAUCAGAGAACAAACAUAUGAUCUAAGGUGAAACAUUAGUGCCAUGGUUAGUGGUAAUUGGUAAAUGCUAUUUCUUUCUUUAGUCGAUUUCAUUUGCCUUGGUCUGAGAAAAAAAUGCUACGUUUAGGAAAUGCAAACAUUAGAUUAGAAAUUAUGUAGAAUAGAUAAUCAACUUUGCUGAUUCCUAAUAAUAUACUUAUUGAUUGACAUUUAGGAUCAAAAUGCAACCAAUGAAAAAAGAAAACAGAGGAUCAGAGACAAGCCAUGUCUUGCAUUGUUUCUAUUUUUGUGUUUACGGAAGUACCUAAUGGUAUUUUUAUGAUGUUUUGCAGCUGGUGAAAACGUAUGAAAUUGCAUUGUUUUGCAGCUGGUGAAAGAAGCACCUAAUUGCAUUAACACAUGUCCAGUUCCAAUAGAAAUCUUGGGGUACAUUCAUGCUUCAGACCCAUAACAGGAGCUUUUACUGGUUCAGAACACAUCAUGCUCUAAAAAUCCAAGUUCUCUACUUCACACACAGGUACUACCUUCCUCAUCUCUCUGCCCUCUCCCUCUUCCCAUACCCCCAUCUAGAUGUCGACGAGACCCUGGCUCGAGGCCACGAGUGGUAGAUUCUUUGAUCAUUUUAUGUAGAAUAGAUAAUCAACUAUUUGUGCAGAUAACUAUGUAAACUACAAUACCUUACAUGUAAGCAGUGCAAAAGGAGAUGAAGAAGAUAUCAGUUGCUAAACCCGACAGCAAUUGUUACACCGCUUUAAUAUCUCUCAACACUUUCUAGUAGAAACUAACAACCUGUAUCAUCACAUAAGGUUUGCCCUAUUGAAGUUUUGCACGAUUUGGAUUAUAUAACAGUUAAUGAUGUAAUAUGGCAAUGAAACAAUUGCAUUAAAAAAACUAAGACAUGUGGAAGAGUGGACAUUGUACCUGUCAAUGGAGAGGAUUGCUCUGCAACACCACCACUUCUCAAACUUGACCUUCACAACACACUACAUAGACAGAUGUAAACUAAAAUAUGAAUUCCUUUGCACUGGGAUCAUAAAACAAAAUAUUUAGAACUGAAUCAUAUAGUAAUUAAUCACAAUCUACAGGGCUGCUGCACUCUAAUCUUUGCAAAAGAACAAAAAAUAACAUUGUUUUAACCUAAACAGAAGUGCCAAAUACUAAACAAUGACCAUUGUUGUUAUACUAGUGAACUAUCUGCUAGAGAUUCUACACCCAUACUGAAAAAGGGAGUCAGUCGAUGGUGAUGGAGUCGGCGCUGGACAGGUGGGAGGGAAUGGGGAAUGGUGGAGAGAGGGAGGAAGGAGGAAGGAGGAGAGGUACCUGGUCGCCGGAGGGGUCGGGGUCGGCGGAGGGGUCGCGGUCGGGGUCCGAGCUCGUCCGGGUCCUCGCUCGCUGCUGUCGAAGGAGAGCAGGGGCCGGUGGCGGAGGACGGCAGGGGCAGGCGGGAUGGGCGCGUCGGGGCCGCGCUCGCCGGCUGCUGCAGGGGCCGGAGGAGGCCCUCGCUUGUCGGANNNNNNNNNNNNNNNNNNNNNNNNNNNNNNNNNNNNNNNNNNNNNNNNNNNNNNNNNNNNNNNNNNNNNNNNNNNNNNNNNNNNNNNNNNNNNNNNNNNNNNNNNNNNNNNNNNNNNNNNNNNNNNNNNNNNNNNNNNNNNNNNNNNNNNNNNNNNNNNNNNNNNNNNNNNNNNNNNNNNNNNNNNNNNNNNNNNNNNNNNNNNNNNNNNNNNNNNNNNNNNNNNNNNNNNNNNNNNNNNNNNNNNNNNNNNNNNNNNNNNNNNNNNNNNNNNNNNNNNNNNNNNNNNNNNNNNNNNNNNNNNNNNNNNNNNNNNNNNNNNNNNNNNNNNNNNNNNNNNNNNNNNNNNNNNNNNNNNNNNNNNNNNNNNNNNNNNNNNNNNNNNNNNNNNNNNNNNNNNNNNNNNNNNNNNNNNNNNNNNNNNNNNNNNNNNNNNNNNNNNNNNNNNNNNNNNNNNNNNNNNNNNNNNCUCGCGGGGGUCGGGGCGGCGGCGUCGAGGCAGCGCAAGACCACAGCGGCGGCGGCGUGCAGGCGCGGCGGACGGAGGGGGCGGAGCAAGGGGGCGGCGGCGUACGGUUGGGGUCGAGUGGGGGAUCUGGCGAGGGAGGGAGGGAGAGGCCACAGUGCGAGGGGAACAAGUGGAGUCGGUUAGCAAUGGCGCACCUCCCCCUAGUGCGCCAUAAGUACGUCGAUUCUAAUGGCGCACCGCCCCUGGUGCGCCAUUAGAAUUUUAUUUUAAUUACUAGCCCGACUGGUCAGGUUAUAUUCAACCUAACCCUAUCUCCAUCAGAACACGCCCACUAGCCCGAUUGGUCAGCACGCAGCACACACACUAGGAGGUCUUGGGUUUGAUUCCCAGGCUCCCCAAUUUUUGUUUUUAUGCAUUUAAAAUGUUGUUUGAUAUUUAUUUGUGUUUAAAUAUGUUCAAACUUGUUUAAAUCAUAACAGUAAUAUUUUUUUUGUAAAAACAGUAAUGAUUUUUUAAAAAAUAUCAUCAAAUUUGUUAUUUGAAAAUAUAAUUAAAUUUGCUUUUUUUUGCAAAUUUAGUUGCAUUCAUUUGUGACGGUGGAGCGGGCCGGGGAAGGUGCGGGGGGUCGUCGGCGGCGGUGGNNNNNNNNNNNNNNNNNNNNNNNNNNNNNNNNNNNNNNNNNNNNNNNNNNNNNNNNNNNNNNNNNNNNNNNNNNNNNNNNNNNNNNNNNNNNNNNNNNNNNNNNNNNNNNNNNNNNNNNNNNNNNNNNNNNNNNNNNNNNNNNNNNNNNNNNNNNNNNNNNNNNNNNNNNNNNNNNNNNNNNNNNNNNNNNNNNNNNNNNNNNNNNNNNNNNNNNNNNNNNNNNNNNNNNNNNNNNNNNNNNNNNNNNNNNNNNNNNNNNNNNNNNNNNNNNNNNNNNNNNNNNNNNNNNNNNNNNNNNNNNNNNNNNNNNNNNNNNNNNNNNNNNNNNNNNNNNNNNNNNNNNNNNNNNNNNNNNNNNNNNNNNNNNNNNNNNNNNNNNNNNNNNNNNNNNNNNNNNNNNNNNNNNNNNNNNNNNNNNNNNNNNNNNNNNNNNNNNNNNNNNNNNNNNNNNNNNNNNNNNNNNNNNNNNNNNNNNNNNNNNNNNNNNNNNNNNNNNNNNNNNNNNNNNNNNNNNNNNNNNNNNNNNNNNNNNNNNNNNNNNNNNNNNNNNNNNNNNNNNNNNNNNNNNNNNNNNNNNNNNNNNNNNNNNNNNNNNNNNNNNNNNNNNNNNNNNNNNNNNNNNNNNNNNNNNNNNNNNNNNNNNNNNNNNNNNNNNNNNNNNNNNNNNNNNNNNNNNNNNNNNNNNNNNNNNNNNNNNNNNNNNNNNNNNNNNNNNNNNNNNNNNNNNNNNNNNNNNNNNNNNNNNNNNCCGGGGCGGUGGCGGGUGCCGUCGGCGGCGGCGGGUGGUUGGGACGGUGGGGCGACGGGGCGAGGGGAGGUGGGGGCGGCGUAGUAGUUUUGCAAAAAAGUAAAAAAUAAAAAAAUAUUGUAGUGGCGCACUAUGUGGCUGGUGCGCCAUUACUAGUUAGAACUAGUAAUGGCGCACUGUGCCCUGCUGCGCCAUUAGUAUGUCUGGAAAAAAAAUUGUUACUAAUGGCGCACCGUGUGUCUGGCGCGCCAUUAGUGUAUUUCACACUAAUGGCGCACCAGCACAUGGUGCGCCACUGCUACAUAGCAAUGGCGCACCACAUGUCUGGUGCGCCAUUAGUGGUCAUUCCAUUUAUAGCCCUUUUCCUAGUAGUGCGUGAUGGCCCCAGGGUUGUCCUUGAGCACAUUUGUCAUCGCCUUGUCCAACAUCUCUCUCAGCCCCAGGUUGGAGCCGUAUUGAUCCACUCCCAGUUCCACCGAGCCCCAUGCCUGCCGGAACAUCGUGGGGAUGUCCACCCGAGGUAGAGUGGUCGUGGGCUUUGGAGGGCGCGCAGACGCGACGACAGCCAGAACCUCGCCUCCCUGGGGCCCGGAGCCGCCCCCUGCUUGCUUUCCGCCAUGGCCCAAGGAGGCCGCAUUAGAGCCCUUGCCAUCCGUAGUCUCCUUCAAUCUCCUGACCCCUGCCGCAUCCCACUCGGCCGUGUUGAGACUUGGAGCCGAUUCCUCCUCCUCAUUGUCGUCGUCCGUGGGUGGGGGUGCGGCGGUGGUGGCAGGGGCUCAACAUUAGGAGCAUAUGCCCCCCCACCUCACGAUUUUCAAUAGUUGCUCGUCGUCCAAGUCGAAAAUCAAGGUUCUAUCUGAUUCUAACUAUAUUUUUUAUGUGAGUUCAUCAGCUUAAAUGCAUUGAUAUUAUUUUGUUGGGUUGAUAAAUAGAAACAAUCAUGCAUUCUAGUUAUAAAAGGAAGUAUGAUUCUGGUGCCUUAAGAGCCCAUACUUUAUACAUGAUACAUGUGGUGACUAAAGUCGAGUCGGCUCGUGGAGCACCCGUGAGUGAUUCACGGAUUGGGGGCUGAAAGGACCUUUGUCCCGACGGCCCUCUGGGUGGAUCUUUGUGGCGGAGCGACAGGGCAGGUUGAGACUACCUAGGUGAGAGGUGGGCCUGGCCUUGGUCGGCGUUCGCAGUUACAUCAAUUAACACGUUUAACGAGUUCUUGGUAUUUGAUCUGAGUCUGGCCACUGGCCUAUACGCACUAACAAACUACGCGGGAAUAGUUAUGGGCUCUCGACGUCGUGUUAUCAGCCGAAGCCUUCGUGACGUUAGCGACUGAGCGGCGCGCGCCGGGCUGGACCGCGUAACGCAACUUCCUUUGAAAUGGAGGUUGCUAGGUCUGCUCUCCGGCCGCGUACGCAACGUGCAGGUGUGCAAUGGGCGAUGGGCCUAGACCCCUGCGCGCAUAGAAUUUAGACCGGCGUGUUGACCUCUCUAUUGUGCCUAGGUGGGGCUGUGACGUGUUGAUCUUCCAAGGCCAGGCAUGAUCCAGGAAAGUGUGUCCGGCCAAAUGGGAUCGACCGUGUCGGGUUAUGUGGUGCACCCCUGCAGGGAAGUUUAUCUAUUCGAAUAGCCGUGUCCCUCGGUAAAAGGAUGACCCGGAGUUGUACCUUGACCCUAUGACAACUAGAACCGGAUACUUAAUAAAACACACCCUUCCAAGUGCCAGAUACAACCCGGUGAUCGCUCUCUCACAGGUCGACGAGGAGAGGAUCGUAGGGUAGGAUUUUGCUAUGCGAUGAUACUUGGUGAACUUACCAUCUACUCUCUUCUACAUGCUGCAAGAUGGAGGCUGCCAGAAGCGUAGUCUUCGACAGGAUUAGCUAUCCCCUUCUUAUUCUGGCAUUCUGCAGUUCAGUCCACCGAUAUGGCCCCUUUACACAUAUACCCAUGCAUAUGUAGUGUAGAUCCUUGCUUGCGAGUACUUUGGAUGAGUACUCACGGUUGCUUUUCUCCCUCUUUUGCCCGUUUCCAUUCUACCUGGUUGUCGCAACCAGAUGUUGGAGCCCAGGAGCCAGACGCCACCGUCGACGACGAUUCCUACUACACCGGAGGUGCCUACUACUACGUGCAGGCCGCUGAUGACAGCCAGGAGUAGUUUAGGAGGAUCCCAGGCAGGAAGCCUGCGCCUCUUUCGAUCUGUAUCCCAGUUUGUGCUAGCCUUCUUAAGGCAAACUUGUUUAACUUAUGUUUGUACUUAGAUAUUAUUGCUUCCGCUGACUCAUCUAUGAUUAGUGUACGAUUGAAUCGGGGGCGUCACAAGUUGGUAUCAGAGCCGACUGCCUGUAGGAAUCCCCCUUCCACACUCCUUGGCCGAAGUCGAAUCUAGACAUUGCAAAAACGUUUACUAACAUGGCUGUGUGUCUUACAGGCCCAUGUCGCCAUUGGGUGGUACUAGGAUCUUUUACUCCUCGAACCUUACUCUGGGAUUCUAAUCUCUCUUCUAUUCGGGUUAAAUGAUUUUCUAAAAAUCUAGCUUUAGGUUCUCGAAAACACUUUCUCCCGGAGAGCCCCUUCAGUCCAGAUGAUCGCCGGCUGCACCAGAAGAUUUCGAAGUUACUCUCCGAUACUCUUUUGAGACUUUGUGCGCGUUGCUUUUGCAAUUCCCUACCACCGAAAUAUCCCUAUGGAUAAAUACAUACACUUGCUGUUCUUACUUUUAUCCCCAGUUGGUCUUGUUAUUACAAGAUACCCUAUAAUACUCGUUGUUGUUCCAAGAAUCCCUUGUGCCACUGCCUUGCGGUUCCUUGCCGCAAAAAUAUCCUUACGAUUUGUUUCUUCACACUAAUCGAGGAACCGUUCAUUACUAGUUGUUCAUAGGAUUCACUAGAUACGUUGAAAUACCACCCGAUCUUCCGGUAAUUCUCUGCCAACUAUUGUUCUGCAAAUACUUGUCUACUUGCAGUCUGGAAAAUUCCAUUUGUCUAGCAAUAACCAUUAAAAUCCUUGUGAUUGACAUUCUGAUCCUAUUGAUUUGACAUGUGUGUGAAUGCACACAAUCAUCAGUUAUUCCCUGAAAAUUAUCCUUCCGGCUCAGAUGUCAUUUUAAAUGUGAGCUGGUUCUCAUCCAAUCAAAUUAUCAUCGAUUGUAUCCCUAAGCCUACUCAACUUAUCCAUCCUUAAUCAGAGCGUUUGCUUCUGAUCCUUUGAUUUGGAAAUCACAAUUCCUUUGCAUUUGUGUUUGAAUUAGUUGGUUGUUUCUAUAAUCCAAUGCCUUUGCAUUGUUUCUUCCUCUGGUUGAGUACCGAUGCUUACAUCAGAUCCCUUGAGGACCAUCGGAUCCUUUGUUGUAUUUUAUCCGACAACGUCCUUCAUAUUCAAUCACUUUGGAAGUUCUUUCCCCGAUACAUAUUGCCAUUGGUAAAUCCUAUUCCUUGAUUUGGCCAACCAUGCUCUGCUUUCGAGUUGGUGAUAUUUACUAUUGAAGCUUGUGGUAUAUGUUCGAUGCCCCGAUGGGUUGAACCUAUGCCUUCCUUAAUAUGUGUGAACUCGAAAGUUUUCACGAGUCAUACUCUUCUGGUGUUUUUCUAGAUAAAAUUAACAUUACAACUUCUUCAAAAAAUGAGAAGUGAAUGAAUGGUUAUGCAUUGGAGAAGUGGGAGUCGACCUUGAACUUUGUGUUCAUGCCCAUUGACACGAUGUAGAUCCUACCAUGUAAGCUUCUUGUAAUAAUAGCUAUUUCGUUGAUAUAAUAUCAUCUGCUAUCUGUGAAUUGAUCCUUUGCAAUCGUGGUUCCGACCAUAUUUUCUCCUUGAUUCCAUUUCUUAGGCAAGUGAAAACACUUGUCUUCUGCAGAUCAAUACAUCUCCGCAACCCCUGUGUCGAUCUUCCUUUGAGUAAUACCCUCCAGUAUCUCGAGAAUAUCAAAGAACUGUGUUUCUUACUAGUCUUCAUCUAGUAUUUCUUCUCACCGAUUUCAGAUUUCCCCUGGGUUAUGAGUUAUUUCACUCGAGAACACCGAUAAGUGAAUCGAUUCCGUGCUCCAAUUCAAUAACUCUAAGUAAAUUUCAUUGCUUACGAGUUUAAUAAUCCUUCAAAUCAUUCCUAGCCUGAUCAGUUAUAUUAUUAUUGUGCUAAAUUUUAAACUGUGCCACCCGGUCCUUAUUCCCAGAGCACAGCUUUCGACAAUGAGCUAAGCUUACGUCGAUCUUCCUCGUCUUAUCGUUCGCCUUCAACAACAAGCUUGAUUUCGAGUUUGUAGCAUACCCAUGGUCCCAAUAACCUUUCGCUUCAUCAUUCCUUUGACUUGAUGUCGUCGCUGGUUGAUUACAUCUUCAUGAAAUCUCUCGACAAAUGUGUCGUGAUCAUCAUCAACCUUAUGAGCUGUUCCAGGAUAUCAAUCGAAUUCAUGAUGAGAAAUACCAUCCUUGCCCUCGAUGAUUUGUGUCAUCAUCGACCACUUUAUUGCCUUCUGUUCAACACAAACUUGUUCGUGAUUCGUGUUAUACCUUGAGAUCCAUGCUAUCCAGCAAUUGUUCUUCUUUACCUUGGAGUAUUACCAUCUUUUAUGUCAAUAAUGUCAUGAGAAUUUCACCACCUCUUAUGCAUUCUUAGUACAAGUGAUACUUCCUUUCAUCUCUGUUCAUUCCUUGGUCCCCGUGUUGUUUCUAACCGGAAAACCGACAAUUGAACUAUGAUGUGUGAAUUCAAAACUUCUAGCAACCCUAUUGCUUUGAAAGUAAUGGUCGACAUUUCAUUCUUAGGCCAUUGAUUAUCGAAUCACCAUUCUAACAUUGAUCGUACUACCUAAGCCCAUAUUUUGGGUGCACUUUUCAAUCAAUGUUUAAUUGUGUAUGUUUUCCUCGAGCAUACCUCAUUAUAUCAUUUGAUCCGACAAAUGUUAUUUCCUUGUUCACAUAAUUGUGGAAAUCCAUCUUUUGAAAACCUUGAGGAAUUAUCGCUGAGACCAUCAGCCACCCCCUCAUCCUCUCCUUGGUUUAAUGAUGAAUUCUUCUUUCAGAUCUCGUUUCCAUACUUCAUUUCCUGAGAAUCUUACAAUGUCAUCUCGUCAAUUUGUGUUGCACCUUUUCUCUCAGGCAUACAGAGUCUGAGGUAUCCUUACACCAAUCAGAUCUGAAUCUUGGUCAGAUUUGAUGGUUGGAGCAUUUUCCAAGAGUCAUAACAUUGGUCUUUAUAUCACCCGGUAAGGUGAUGUCAUGCCUAGCACACCUGGCCGGAGGACCUGUUGUUACCAUUUCCUUUUUAGCAAGGUUAUCCAUUCUUCCAUGAGGAAAUUGUAAGACUGAUUCUAUGAGUUCCCCUGAUGGAUCAUUUGUGAAUCCUAAGUCUGAUCUUUACUUGAUGACCAUGUCAAUGCUAUCACGAAGCAUGUCAAUGGUACUCCGAUUUUCAAUAAGAACAUUUGAAGCACAAUGCUAAAUUUUCUUUAUCAAUUAUUCAAACACCGUUGUUUGGGUAAUGUCAUAUAAUUCCUCUCCCCUUACCUAAAUGGUUUACUACUUUCUAUCCUGUCAUGGAUAUCAUGGUCUGCUUGUCCUUGGGAAAGAUAUACCCCUGAAUUAUGUGUUUAAACACAUUUUCCUUUCCAUUGUUUGGUUUAACCCUUCUUGUGAUCUAUAUGAUCCAAGCAGAAAUAUUCUCCUGCUUAUGUAAACACCUCGGUGUACAAUUCUGUCAGCAAGACCCUGUUACUAUUGUUGAUGACAUUCCGGUAACCACCGAUGGACGAGAACUUUGCCUAUUGGUCCGCCUCGUUCAACGAGCAGGAAAAUGGUUCUUUUCGUCCCUCGCCCUAGGUACCAACGUUGUUGCCAAUAAAACUGACAGGCUAUCCUCUGACAUACUUUGCUAUCUUGACCGUGCAAAUGUUAGCGCCUUCCUGCUUUUAACCCACAUGGUGGGCCCAUAACCCACAGUUCCACAAGAUCGAAACCCGACUCUCCUAUACACCCCCUGUUGUCAAAGUUAUUCCUCGCGCUUGACUUUGUAUGUGUUGGGUAACGUAGCAAUAAUUCAAAAUUUUCCUACAUGUCACCAAGAUCAAUCUAGGAGAUGCUAGCAACGAGAGAGAGGGAGUGCAUCUUCAUACCCUUGAAGAUCGCUAAGCGGAAGCGUUACAAGAACGCGGUUGAUGGAGUCGUACCCGCGGCGAUUCAAAUCGCAGAAGAUCCGAUCUAGCGCCGAAUGGACGGCGCCUCCGCGUUUAACACACAUACAGCCCGGGGACGUCUCCUCCUUCUUGAUCCAGCAAGGGGAGAGGAGAAGUUGAGGGAGAAAUCCAGCAGCACGACGGCGUGGUGGCAAUGGAGCUCGUGGUUCUCCGGUAGAGCUUCGCUAAGCACUACGGAGGGGCUGCGCCAGGCAAGGGUGCGGCUGCCCUCCCACCCCCUCACUAUAUAUAGGGGGAAGGGGAGAGGGGGCCGGCCCCUCUAGAUGGAUCUAGAGGAGGAGGCGGCGGCCAGGGGAAACCCUAGAUGGGUUUGGGCGUCCCACCCCCUAGGAAACUUGCCCCCCAAGCCGGGAGGGGCGGCUGCCCUAGGGGUGGCGCCCCCACCUCUCCUGGUUACAUGAGAGGGGUUGGGAGGGGCGCACAGCCCCUUAGUGGGCUGGUUUGCCCCUUCCCCUUGGCCCAUAAGGCCCCCAACGCUUGCCGGGGCCUCCGAAACCCCUUUCGGACAUGCUGGCCAUAGCCUGGUACCCUCGGAAUAAUUCCGGACUCCAAUACCCUUCGUCCAAUAUACCGAUCUUCACCUCCGGACCAUUCCGGAGCUCCUCAUCAUGUCCGGGAUCUCAUCCAGGACUCCAAACAACCUUCGGUAACCACAUACUAUUUCCCAUAACAACUCUAGCGUCACCGAACCUUAAGUGUGUAGACACUACGGGUUCGGGAACCAUGCAGACAAGACCGAGACACCUCUCCGGCCAAUAACCAAUAGCGGGAUCUGGAUACCCAUAUUGGCUCCCACAUGUUCCACGAUGAUCUCAUCGGAUGAACCACGAUGUCGGGGAUUCAAUCAAUCCCGUAUACAAUUCCCUUUGUCUAUCGGUAUGUUACUUGCCCGAGAUUCGAUCGUCGGUAUCCCAAUACCCUGUUCAAUCUCGUUACCGGCAAGUCUCUUUACUCGUUUCGUAACGCAUGAUCCCGUGGCUAACUCAUUAGUCACAUUGAGCUCAUUAUGAUGAUGCAUUACCGAGUGGGCCCAGAGAUACCUCUCCGUCAUACGGAGUGCAAAUCCCAGUCUCGAUUCGUGCCAACCCAACAGACACUUUCGGAGAUACCUGUAGUGCACCUUUAUAGCCACCCAGUUACGUCGUGACGUUUGGUACACCCAAAGCAUUCCUACGGUAUCCGGGAGUUGCACAAUCUCAUGGUCUAAGGAAACGAUACUUGACAUUAGAAAAGCUCUUAGCAAACGAACUACACGAUCUUGUGCUAUGCUUAGGAUUGGGUCUUGUCCAUCACAUCAUUCUCCUAAUGAUGUGAUCCCGUUAUCAAUGACAUCCAAUGUCCAUGGUCAGGAAACCAUAACCAUCUAUUGAUCAACGAGCUAGUCAACUAGAGGCUUACUAGGGACAUGUUGUGGUCUAUGUAUUCACACAUGUAUUACGGUUUUCAGUUAAUACAAUUAUAGCAUGAACAAUAGACAAUUAUCAUGAACAAGGAAAUACAAUAAUAACCAUUUUAUUAUUGCCUCUAGGGCAUAUUUCCAACAGUAUGUAGUUCACGGGCCACCUGCCUAGUGAUCUAUUCUGGUAUCAGACGCAAUACUUAUUCCCAUUGCUCUGGACCCCCCUUUUCACUUUGUUUUAGGCUUCGAACGAUUGCCUACCCGCUUGAUACUUCUCAUGGUACUUUCUUACUUUGCUCUUGAUAUUUUCUUAAGUUUCAGUUCGAGAGUUACUUUCCGCCACCUUCCCCGAUGUUAGCUACCAGAUAGUCAACCUUACAGGCCCGUUCUCCCGGAAUACCCCCCCUUUAUUCUUUCGUAAGUACGAUGGGAAUUCCCGGAGAAAGAAUGCUGACUUCAUCACAUCAACGUAAUGGAUCGACCUCUUCGAGAAGAGCAACCAAGACCGAGAAGAUCCGUUAGAUUUUUCGUAACCCAAUCCCUCCCCCCCUUACUCCCCUCCUAAAUCUCGGGACGAGAUUUCUUGUAGUGGAGGAGAAUUGUGACGCCCGGAUAAUUAAGCUACAGUAAUCCCACAUUAACGAUGCCACGUCACCUCCGUUACUGUUGCUAAUCUCGCGUUAGUUCGAAACCGAUUCAAAUUUAAAUUCAAAAUCAAGCAAACAAUAAAAGUUUUUAAAUAAAAUAAAACUAAAAUGUUCGGAGUGAACCAAAUAUUGCAUAGGUAAUUUUGGUGAAGAAACCACACUUUUAUAAAAGUGUAAAAUACUCAAAAAUGUUUUAAACAGUAGCAAAAACAAUUAUUUGAAUGCCUUUUACAAUAAAUAAAAUAUUAAACUAUAUUAAUUAGUUUCCCAAACUUAUGUGGCAGUAGCCUAUUUAUUAACACUAAAGUAGGGACUACUUUUAGUGUUUAUAAAACUAUAAAUAAAAAAGAGGAACUAAAAUUAAAACAGAAAAGGAAAAGCAAAACAAAAGAAAUAGAAAACAAUAGGAAAUAUAAAAUUAAAACUAAAAUAAAGCAACCCUCCCCCCCAACUGGGCCUCAGCCCAGCCAGCGGCCUACCAGGCCGGCCCACCCCACUCCCCUAUAUGGCCUACCCCAGCCUCUCCCAAAACCCUAACCCCCUCACUCACCCCCUCGCUCUCCCCUCCCCCUCCCCCGAUCCAGAUCGGAUCGGGGCACGACGCCGCCGUGCGCCGCCGCCUCGCCCUCGUCAGCGUCGCCGCUACCGGAGCCCCGACGUUCGACGGACGUCCCCGUNNNNNNNNNNNNNNNNNNNNNNNNNNNNNNNNNNNNNNNNNNNNNNNNNNNNNNNNNNNNNNNNNNNNNNNNNNNNNNNNNNNNNNNNNNNNNNNNNNNNNNNNNNNNNNNNNNNNNNNNNNNNNNNNNNNNNNNNNNNNNNNNNNNNNNNNNNNNNNNNNNNNNNNNNNNNNNNNNNNNNNNNNNNNNNNNNNNNNNNNNNNNNNNNNNNNNNNNNNNNNNNNNNNNNNNNNNNNNNNNNNNNNNNNNNNNNNNNNNNNNNNNNNNNNNNNNNNNNNNNNNNNNNNNNNNNNNNNNNNNNNNNNNNNNNNNNNNNNNNNNNNNNNNNNNNNNNNNNNNNNNNNNNNNNNNNNNNNNNNNNNNNNNNNNNNNNNNNNNNNNNNNNNNNNNNNNNNNNNNNNNNNNNNNNNNNNNNNNNNNNNNNNNNNNNNNNNNNNNNNNNNNNNNNNNNNNNNNNNNNNNNNNNNNNNNNNNNNNNNNNNNNNNNNNNNNNNNNNNNNNNNNNNNNNNNNNNNNNNNNNNNNNNNNNNNNNNNNNNNNNNNNNNNNNNNNNNNNNNNNNNNNNNNNNNNNNNNNNNNNNNNNNNNNNNNNNNNNNNNNNNNNNNNNNNNNNNNNNNNNNNNNNNNNNNNNNNNNNNNNNNNNNNNNNNNNNCGUGCCAGCCCCCGCUCUGCGCCGCUCGCCAGCGCCCACCCGCUGCCGCGGCUCACCUGCCGUCGCCCGCCUAUGCCGCUAGCUCCGGCACCGCGCCCCAUCUCCGGCUGCUGAGCCCGCCUACGCCGACUGCAUCCGCCUUCAGCCACGCGCAGGCAACCGUCCCGUGCCGCCUCUGCUUCUUGGCCGGCGCUGCCGUCCCACCUCGCCGCUGCGCUGCUCCUCCGCCGUCAUUGCUGCCUCCGGCCGCCGCUGCCGCCAAGACCGCUCCCCGGCCGGCGGCGAUGGCCUCGCCCGAGCCAGCACCCUGGCUCGCCCCAGUUGGGUGCCCACGCGCCCGUUACCGCUAGCGCUAGUGCCUGGUUUGGCCUAUGUGCCCAUGACAGCCAGGGCCCACCCCUAGAAUGAUUAAAAAAUGAAUUUAAUAAAAUCAAUAAUUAAUAUUUACUUAAUUAACAAAAUAGUGAAUUAAUUAAGAUAAUUAAUUUUGUUUAACUAUACUAAUUAAAAUUAGUUAACCUAAUCAUUUAGCUAAACUAAUUAAACUUAUUUAGUUAGUCUUAGACAAUGACGAAUGGGACCCACACGUCUGUUGACCCAGUCAACAGACGGUUGACUGAUGACAUCAUGCUGACAUCAUGCUGACAUCAUAAUUACAUUUUAUAAUUAAUUUAAUUCUGUCAAUUACUCGAAAUGAAUUAAAUCUUUAAAAAUUAAUAUUAAAUAAUCCGUAUCUCGGAUGAAAAAACUUUGUACAUGAAAGUUGCUCAGAACGACUAGACGAAUCCGGAUACGCAGCCCGUUCGUCCGCCACACAUCCCUAGCAUCGCAAACUCGCAACUUUUCCCCUCCGAUUCAUCUGUCCAAAAACGCGAAACCCCGGGGAUAUUUUCCCGGAUGUUUCCCCCCUUCGCCGGCAUCGCCUAGUACCACGUUAGGGCAAACCUAGCACCGCGUAUUGCCUCGUUAUGUUUUGUGAUUCUUUGUUUGCUCUGUAUUUACUGUUUCUUCCCCCUCUUCUUCUCCGGUAGACCCCGAGACCGAUGCCGCUGCUACCCAGUACGACUACGGUGUUGACGACCCCUCCUUCUUGCAAGAGCAACCAGGCAAGCCGCCCCCUUUGAUCACCAGAUAUCGCCUAUUCUUCUCUAUACUGCUUGCAUUAGAGUAGCGUAGCAUGUUACUGCUUUCCGUUAAUCCUAUUCUGCUGCAUAGCCUGUCUUUGCCACUACCGUUGUUACCUUUACCUGCAAUCCUACAUGCUUAGUAUAGGAUGCUAGUAUUCCAUCAGUGGCCCUACAUUCUUGUCCGUCUGCUGUGCUAUACUAUCGGGUCGUUAUCACUCGGGAGGUGAUCACGGGUAUAUACUAUAUACUUUAUACAUGCUACAUGUGGUGACUAAAGUCGGGUCGGCUCGUGGAGCACCCGCGAGUGAUUCACGGAUUGGGGGCUGAAAGGACCUUUGUCCCGAUGGCCCUCUGCGUGGAUCUUUGUGGCGGAGCGACAGGGCAGGUUGAGACUACCUGGGUGAGAGGUGGGCCUGGCCUUGGUCGGCGUUCGCGGUUACAUCAAUUAAUACGUUUAACGAGUUCUUGGUAUUUGAUCUGAGUCUGGCCACUGGCCUAUACGAACUAACCAACUACGCGGGAACAGUUAUGGGCACUCGACGUCGUGGUAUCAGCCAAAGCCUUCGUGACGUCAGCGAUUGAGCGGCGCGCGCCGGGUUGGACCGCGUAACGCAACUUCCUUUGAAAUGGAGGUUGCUAGGUCUGCUCUCCGGCCGCGUACGCAACGUGCAGGUGUGCAAUGGGCGAUGGGCCCAGACCCCUGCGCGCAUAGGAUUUAGACCGGCGUGCUCACCUCUCUGUUGUGCCUAGGUGGGGCUACGACGUGUUGAUCUUCCAAGGCCGGGCAUGACCCAGGAAAGUGUGUCCGGCCAAAUGGGAUCGACCGUGUCGGGUUAUGUGGUGCACCCCUGCAGGGAAGUUUAUCUAUUCGAAUUGCCGUGUCCCUCGGUAAAAGGACGACUCGGAGUUGUACCUUGACCUUAUGACAACUAGAACCAGAUACUUAAUAAAACACACCCUUCCAAGUGCCAGAUACAACCCGGUGAUCGCUCUCUCACAGGUCGACGAGGAGAGGAUCGUCGGGUAGGAUUAUGCUAUGCGAUGAUACUUGGUGAACUUACCAUCUACUGUCUUCUACAUGCUGCAAGAUGGAGGCUGCCAGAAGCGUAGUCUUCGACAGGAUUAGCUAUCCCCCUCUUAUUCUGGCAUGCUGCAGUUCAGUCCACCGAUAUGGCCCCUUUACACAUAUACCCAUGCAUAUGUAGUAUAGAUCCUUGCUUGCGAGUACUUUGGAUGAGUACUCACGGUUGCUUUUCUCCCUCUUUUCCCCCUUUCCAUUCUACCUGGUUGUCGCAACCAGAUGUUGGAGCCCAGGAGUUAGACGCCUCCGUCGAUGACGACUCCUAUUACACCGGAGGUGCCUACUACUACGUGCAGGCCGCUGACGACAGCCAGGAGUAGCUUAGGAGGAUCCCAGGCAGGAGGCCUGCGCCUCUUUCGAUCUGUAUCCCAGUUUGUGCUAGCCUUCUUAAGGCAAACUUGUUUAACUUAUGUCUGUACUCUGAUAUUAUUGCUUCCGCUGACUCGUAUAUGAUCGAGCACUUGUAUUCGAGCCCUCGAGGCCCCUGGCUUGUAUUAUGAUGCUUGUAUGACUUAUUUUAUUUUAGAGUUGUGUUGUGAUAUCUUCUCGUGAGUCCCUGAUCUUGAUCGUACACGUUUGCGUGUAUCAUUAGUGUACGAUUGAAUCGGGACCGAAACUGGCGCCGCCGGACCCAGGCCGAACCCGGCGCGCUGGGGCGCCAGGGGACGCGUUUUUGGCACGAAUGGGGAUGGGCCCGCCGAGUCAAUGAGACGCCGCUUCGUCGUCCUCAUCGCCUCGGUUCCCGCGGGAAUCAAUGCCAAGGCUGGCCAAGGCUGCCGCGCCGGUCAACCUCCAUUGAUGCCUCACGGGCGGCGCGGUGACGGUGCCACCGACGCGUGUCCCGCCCGCUCCCGCCACGCGUCGCUCGGCAUGCAGACUCUCACAGCCCCGCUUCGGCUAUAAAAGCCGAUCUCCCCGCCGGUGAACGCCAUAGUCGCCACACCUCGCCUCGUAGAGCCACGCAAAGCAACACUCCCCUCUCUUCCCCGCCGACGAGCAAUGGCUGAGAGGUACCCCGGCGACGCCGCGGAGGCGAACGGCUUCGGCCAUCGCCAUCUCCACGCGGAUGAGGCGCCUCCUCUACGAGGCCGACUACCCGGCGCCCCCGGACAUGCGUGUGCCGGGGGUGUGGAAGUUGAGCGCCGGCGGCGUCCCGGUGCCACCGGUGCCCGAAGGGGCUGCACGGUGGGCCGAGAUCGCCCGCAUCCGCGCGUUGCUGACGGAGGCGCAGUGGAAUGAGCCGAGGUACGCCGUCGAAAGCCACACGCUGUGGACGAUGUACUUCGAGCGCCGCAGCCAAGAGCAGAUUGUCUCCGCCAACGGCACCAUCCCCCGUGGCCGCCUCAACUCCGACGGGUGGCGCGAGUGGUAGGGCCUGCCCGGUCGCACCCUCAAGGCCGUCCUCGACUACAUCGAGACCGAGAACACGGCGCGCCUCGAGUACCCGCCGCGCCCGUUGUUCUCUCGCCGCCGCGGCAGCUCCUGGACGCCGCGGCAAAUGGAGCCAGGGAUGUCCUCCUCGUCGGGCUCCGACUCGCUCUCCUCCGGCUCGCCGGUGCUACGCCCCGUCAGGCCGGAGCCAGAGGAGACCCCGCUUCGGUGCCGCACCCGCAACGGCGCCCUCGUCAUCAACGAGGGUGGCCGCCCCUCCCGCGCUCCCUCCACCUGGUCCGGCCGAAGCCCGAGCCAGGGUUGCUCCCCGUGAAGCUGGAGCACGUGGACAUGUUGGCCCCCGACGACGAGGCCGCCCUCAAGUGGCCGAAGGAGGACUACGUCCGCGAGCAGGUGCUCCGCCAGCGCCAGGCAUACGCGGAGCUCCAGGCCCGGCGUCGUGGACGCGAGGAAGGGGCGUCACCGUCCUCGACAGCGACGACGAGGGCGAGGCCGGGCCGUCCAACCCCCCACCGCGCGUCGGCGACCCUGGCCAGGGGUGCAGCAGGGACUGCGGCGGCUCUGGCGGGGCGCGCGACGAUGACGGCGACGACUACACCCGUUUUUACAGGCUCCUCGGCAUGUAGAUGGCGGGCGGCGGCCGCGGCGUAGCAGGGCUAGGCGUAGUUUGCAUGCUUAUCUGUUUUUGUACAAAUUUCUAUCAAAUAUCGCCGAGUUUGUGCCAGAUCACCGAGUUUGUACAAAUUCUAUGAAAUAUCGCCGAGUUCGCGCGCUUUUCGCGGCGGCCUCGGGGGCGUCGUCUGGGAACGCAGCCGCCCUCACGCGCCAAGCAAACGCCGGUUCAGCACCUGACGGCUCUUUUUGGCGUCCUGAGGGCUCGAACGGCUGGAGAUGCUCUUAACAUGACUGACAUGAAGUAUGCGGUUGGAGAUGUCCUAAACUAGAUCCAGAGCAAUCUCAAGGAAGCAAUUUGUCUCGAGGUGCAUCCAUGGUCACCGUGUGCACGCGGGUGACCGACAUGACAUGCCAUUUGGAGGCUCCUCUCGGAGGAACAGCCGGAAUCGAGGACGGAGGAGCAAUCGAGGUUCAAGAGAAAAACCAAACGCCACUUGCCGUGGAACUCGUGACCCGUGACCGUGAGGCAACAGGCCACAUGCCGCGCGCAACGCGCGCCUCGUCCUCGUGGCCACAGACGCGCGCGAUGAAGCCCGAUCUCCGUGCCUGACCGAUCACUGAUCAGAUCUCACCCUUUGCAGCGUAGUACUCAAGUCUGUCCAACACAAGUCAAGUCUGCCCAGUCAAGUGUGCAAUGAGGAACGAAGCUUCACACCAGAGGACCGGAAGUUUGCAUCAGAAUGGCCUUACAUUCAGACCGGAAUAUCCUUCGUCAUUCACUCAUUUGGAUACGAAAUUGCACGGACGAUCAAGACGGGAACAAAUCGGGUUUGCAGCUCUUGAGAGGAAGCGUCAGUAGACCAGUGGAGCUCACCAUGGAAACAGUUCAUCAUCGGCGUGUUUCUGUCGCGGGACUCGUGACUGACUGACCGUAGCAGGACUGAUCGGUGGACCGUCACCCUUUGCAAGCAAAUUAGUUCAUAUAGGAAAGCAGCAGGAAAAGAAUAGGAAAAACAAGCACUCGAUUGAGAUCAUGAUAGAUGAGUUCGGGCCCCAUAUGGCCAUGUGUGCUGUCUUGCUUUAGAGUACGUGGGGUUCUUCACACCCCAAAAAGAGUACUAGUGGAACCUCAUGGAGCAUUAGCAGAUAACGACCUCGGUUCUCCACGGCAUAAACCCACCUUCAUUAGCUAAGCAAAUCUACCUCCUUCUCGUUUUAAGAUUUCUUUAUCGCUAGUUUAGUUUAUUUAUACUAGACGGUGUUAGUAGCCGCCCUGCAUGUUUUAGAUGUUCUAGUAUUGACAAAGAACAUGCUUUACAUGAGUAAAGUUUGCACGUUCAUAACUCGUAGCCCAGCGGUUGUCCUAUCAUCGUAUCAACUAGAAGGGUUGAACGUGCUUCGUUGCACCGCUGAUGUUAUUAGCAUUUCAUAAAGACAAAAUUUGGUUUGGUGCGUGAGGAAGAUGAUGAAGUGUUUUUUUAAUAUAAUGUGGUGUUUUGGUGGUUUUUAUUGUUGAUGUGAUUCGGUUUAUCCGCUAAUCAACUAAUACUAAUGUGGGAAAGUUUUUUGCCCUGCUAGUCGCAUGUACUAUAUUUGUGCUACAACAUGACAUGUUGGCGCUUCUUCUUUUUAGAUGUUGAAAGGGUGCAUAGGAGUGAUGUGUUUUUACACCCUUGUUGUUGAUUAAUUUGAAAAAUCAUUGACCCAAUCAUAAUCGUGAAUCAAAUCCAAAAUUGAAUAUAUUACACGCUCGACGUUGAUUAAUUUGAGAAAUUAUUGACCCAGUCACAAUUUUGAAUCAAAUCCAAAACUGAAUACCAUAACUGAAUGACAGAGCUGGUUGAGAAACAGUUGAUCCAGUCAAAAUCGUGAAUCAAAUAAAAAAAUUAAACACCCUAAUUGAGUGUGGGAAGCCUCCAAAAUUAAGAAGCAUACUUAAAUAGAGGUAACGCCGGCUUUCAGCAAUCAACACUAGGUGGUACUGCAUCUCAUGCGACUGCUGUGCUGAACAACUGAUCAUGCAUUAAUACUAAAUUGUUUUCUGGUAACAAAAAUAACAAUAAUAAUCAACACUUGUUACUUCAGCAUGUGUGCAUGUAUGAAAAAGAACUAGAGGCUGACGUGUGCUUCACCGCACCGUUCUUCACUCGUGGGAUUAACUCUUUUAUGCCUGGUAGAUCAUUGUGGUCAUUUGUUUUCUUUGAAUUUUAUCUAUGUUGACUUGUGUUUUAGUUAUGUUUUGGUGGUGAUUUUUUCGGUUCGUGUAUCGUGUUGGGUUGUUGUUGGAGACUAGUUGUUCCAAGAGGAGAAUGUAGUCGUUUGGUGGGUGUUUUUCGUGUGUGUUCACUCGUUUCAGCAUUGGUGUCAACCGAUGGUGGUGGUUUGAUCCUCUUGCUCCUUUUCCACAUUGAAACCAUGUAAUUGCUGCUAUAACACUCAAAUUGACUAGUCAUGAAGUUCUCUCUCGCACAGCUGCCUUCUUGCUCCUCUCGCUCACUUAGUCUUUUUUCCCCUCGCCCCACUGCUAGCUCGGAAAAAAAUCGCCUAUCAUUUAUUUAGAAUGUUAGUUUAAUUAAAAGAUGGUCAAGGAUUCUAAAAAUAUUGUGAAUUUUAAAAACCUAAAUUUUAGAAAAUGUUCAGGAAUUUCAAAUAUAUUCAUGGAUUUCAAAAAAAUGUUCAUAAAUUAAAUAAAUUUUCAAAUUUAAAAAGAGUUCACAAACUGAAAAAAUCAUCAUGGUAAAAAUAUCUACGAAUGUAAUAAAUGAAUCUAAAAAGAAAUGUGAAUUUUAAUAUAUUUUUUGCUUUUUAAUGCACACAAAUUCUAAUAAGCGCUAAUGAAUUAAAAAAAUAAAAAUAGAAAGGAUAAGGAGAAAUAAAACUAAACAGCUCACGACCUUACAGACGCUUGAAAUCAUGCAAGCUUAGUAUCUCUAUAGAUAGAUAGAUUAAGCUGAAACCGCAUGAAAAAACGUUGCUAUGUUCAUCAGUGCAUAUACCAUUACCAACGUUCCCGACCGCAAGAUAGACAACUCUGGUGCUGGAAGACUGAAGAAACACACAGCAGUACAUCUUCGUGCGUGAUCCGACGAGAACCUGGCGCUCGACCUGGAAAUGGAGGACGAGGAAGUCAGCAGCGCACCGCCCCUCACGAAACGAAAAGGCCCGGCGUGCUCUCUUCCCCCUCGUGCCACCAUGCCGGAUAAACCUCCCCGCGCCACCAACCGCCGUCCCCCUCGCGCGACGCGCACCAACCAGUUCCUGCUUUGCCCACGUCGACUGAGUCCGGCUGCCACGAAGCCACCACCGCGCGUAGCCACCACCCGCAGUCCGCUCCGUGCGAUCCCGUGGCGACAGGAGCUCCGCACCCGCCAAUCCAGUGGUCAACCCCGCCGUCCAGUUCUUCACCAACCAAAUCUCAUACCUACCUCCUCAGCUGCCUAUUUAAUCCCUCGCCUCCCUCCUUUCCCCUCCAAAGAGCCUCAGCUUCAUCUGCAGCUGAGCUCCUCUUCAGCACAUACAUCUGCCGGCGUCUAGCCAGCUUACUUUCAGAAUCCAGAUACACAUACCCCUGCCGGCGUCCAGCUAGCUCACUUGCUUUAGUACCUCUCUGCAUCUUUCGAUGGAGUGCGAGAAUGCACACGUUGCCGCCAACGGCGAUGGCUUGUGCGUGGCGCAGCCGGCGCGGGCCGACCCACUGAACUGGGGGAAGGCGGCGGAGGAGCUCUCGGGGAGCCAUUUGGAUGCGGUGAAGCGGAUGGUGGAGGAGUACCGAAGGCCCGUGGUGACCAUGGAGGGCGCCAGCCUGACCAUCGCCAUGGUCGCCGCGGUGGCUGCCAGCAGCGACACCAGGGUGGAGCUCGACGAGUCCGCCCGCGGCCGCGUCAAGGAGAGCAGCGACUGGGUCAUGAACAGCAUGAUGAACGGCACCGACAGCUACGGUGUCACCACCGGCUUCGGCGCAACCUCUCACCGGAGGACCAAGGAGGGCGGCGCUCUGCAGAGAGAGCUCAUCCGGUACGAAUUAAACCGCAGAACCAGUUCUACUUCUUGUUAAGCAUUUCUGUUAGUAGUUAUGUGUACCAGACUAUGAAUUGAGUUAUGGAAACCUUAUUUUUUCGUGAUUGCUUUUGAGUUCAGAUUCCUUAAUGCGGGAGCCUUCGGCACCGGCACCGACGGUCACGUCCUGCCUGCCGCGGCGACGAGGGCGGCGAUGCUCGUCCGAGUCAAUACCUUGCUCCAGGGAUAUUCAGGCAUCCGCUUCGAGAUCCUGGAGACGGUCGCCACGCUUCUCAACGCCAACGUGACACCAUGCCUGCCGCUCCGGGGCACGAUCACCGCAUCCGGUGACCUCGUCCCGCUUUCAUACAUCGCGGGCCUGGUCACCGGCCGCCCAAACUCCAUGGCGACCGCUCCAGAUGGCACCAAGGUUAAUGCCGCCGAGGCAUUUAAGAUUGCCGGCAUCCAACAUGGGUUCUUCGAGCUGCAACCUAAGGAAGGCCUAGCCAUGGUGAAUGGCACGGCAGUGGGCUCAGGGCUUGCAUCCAUGGUGCUUUUCGAGGCUAACAUCCUUAGCCUCCUUGCCGAGGUCCUGUCAGCCGUCUUCUGCGAGGUGAUGAACGGCAAGCCCGAGUACACCGACCACUUGACCCACAAAUUGAAGCACCACCCUGGACAGAUCGAGGCUGCCGCUAUCAUGGAGCACAUCCUUGAAGGCAGCUCCUACAUGAUGCUCGCGAAGAAGCUCGGUGAGCUUGACCCAUUGAUGAAGCCAAAGCAAGAUAGGUAUGCACUCCGCACAUCACCGCAGUGGCUUGGCCCUCAGAUUGAGGUUAUCCGUGCUGCCACCAAGUCGAUCGAGCGGGAAAUCAACUCCGUCAACGACAACCCACUCAUCGACGUCUCCCGUGGCAAAGCUAUCCACGGUGGUAACUUUCAGGGCACACCCAUCGGUGUGUCCAUGGACAACACCAGGCUUGCCAUUGCUGCGAUUGGCAAGCUCAUGUUUGCCCAAUUCUCAGAGCUGGUGAACGACUUCUACAACAACGGUCUUCCCUCCAACCUCUCCGGUGGGCGCAACCCAAGCUUGGACAAUGGCUUCAAGGGUGCCGAGAUUGCCAUGGCCUCCUACUGCUCCGAGCUUCAGUUCCUGGGCAACCCUGUGACCAACCAUGUCCAGAGUGCGGAGCAGCACAACCAAGAUGUCAACUCUCUUGGUCUCAUCUCCUCAAGGAAGACCGCCGAGGCCAUUGACAUACUCAAGCUCAUGUCCUCAACAUUCUUGGUCGCGCUGUGCCAGGCAAUCGACCUCCGCCACCUUGAGGAGAAUGUCAAGAAUGCUGUCAAGAGUUGUGUGAAGACUGUGGCUAGGAAGACACUGAGCACCGAUACCAAUGGCAAUCUCCACAACGCACGCUUCUGCGAGAAGGACCUUCUGCUCACAAUCGACCGUGAGGCAGUGUUUGCGUACGCAGACGAUCCUUGUAGCGCCAAUUAUCCACUCAUGCAGAAGAUGCGUGCAGUUCUUGUGGAGCAUGCCUUGGCAAAUGGUGAGGCUGAGCGCGACGUGGAGACAUCUGUGUUUGCUAAGCUUGCCACGUUCGAGCAGGAGCUUCGGGCAGUGCUGCCAAAGGAGGUUGAGGCUGCCAGGAGCGCCGUGGAGAAUGGCACUGCCGCACAGCAAAACCGUAUUGCCGAAUGCCGGUCGUACCCGCUCUACCGAUUCGUGCGCAAGGAGCUUGGAACGGAGUACUUGACUGGAGAGAAGACAAGGUCUCCUGGCGAAGAGGUGGACAAGGUGUUCAUUGCCAUGAAUCAGGGCAAGCACAUCGAUGCACUGCUUGAGUGCCUCAAGGAGUGGAACGGCGAGCCCCUCCCUAUCUGCUAAAUAGAGGAUCGAGAAAGUGAAGAGUAGUGUGCUUCAGAUUUCUGAAGGCUCUUAUGAUAAUACUGUUUUUUCAUUAUAUAUUCUAAAAGUUGAUGUUUACAAUGUUCUUCUAGAGCUGCCAAUGUAUUGCCAAAGAUUGCAAUUGCAUGACUUGGUAGUGUUGGGUAGCCAGUAGAACUUUUAUGAUGUACGUAAGUUAAAAGGGCAGCGUGUGUGUUAACUUUUCAUGAUAAAUUUACUGCCUCCAUUUUUUGGGAUCAACUGGUCCUCGUGACGAUAGUCCAAGAACCAACGAUUGGAAUUUCUUAUGGUGUGUGUACGGCGAUUCAGAAAGUAAAACUCAUGCCUAGGUGGUCACCGGUCAGUAAUAAGUUCUUUGAAUUCUCUGAACGGGAUGAGGGCUUCUCUGAAUUCCCAAUCUCCCAUCUAGGUUUUGUUGUUUCAGUAUUCUACUUACUAAUUUUCAGUCUGGAUUUCUAUGGAGGGACACAACGAUGUUUAACUUGGCGUUCUUCAACUAUUGUACCACCGCAUACCUAUGAAUCCAUUUUUUGAUUAUUAAUUCACUAAUGAUCACAGCCCAUAACACAGGGUACAUACACAUGAAGUUUCUCUGUGCUUCUGAACAUUGCACUAAUUUUCAGUUCUAGUCAUACGUAGGCAUGAAAUAUAUAUGAAGAUUGUAAGGUUGCUCACGCGGCAAAAUUGACAAAUUUAACCUAUUGACGAAAUCAAAUCACAGAAUGAACUGCUCGUGAAACUAUUUCACGUGGUUGACCUUUUUGUGUGACGCCCGACACAAAGGCGCCACACUACACUGUGCAACGCCUCAUAGAUAGUCGCUACACGCCUGGCCAGCGUCGCACCGGUGUCAUCCGAAAAUUACUAAGUCAGUGUGCAGCGCCUGAGAGCUAGGCGCCACACUAUACAGUGUAGCACCUAGCUUCUAGGCGUUGCACUAGUGGUUGCUUCAUUUUAUAGUGCAACCACUAGUGCAGCGCCUGAGAGCUAGGCGCCACACUAUAUAGUGCAGCGCCUAACUCUUAGGCUCUGCACAAUGACUUAGCAAUUUUUAGGCAGUCUGGGGUGCAACGCUGGCCAGGUGUGUAGCGCCUAUCUGUGAGCCGUUGCACAGUGUAAUGUGGCGCCUUCGCGUCGGGCGUCACACAAAAAGGUCAGCCGCGUGAAAUAGUAUCACGGGCAGUUCAUUUUGUGAUUUGAUUUCGUUCACAGGUCAAAUUUGUCAAAUUUGACUGCUCAUGCAUGUGGCACGUGCUUGUAUUCUACUCCCUUUGGUGUUCUUCAAUCUACACGCAUCAAUAGCUCCACGCAUACAUUGACCAUACACGAGAUGUGUAUGUAUGUCCCUCUGCACCGGCCACCGUACCCUGCCAACUAACACGUCUGUGUUGCAUGAAAUGAAGAUGUCAACUAGCAGUGUCCUAAUCUCGAACUCAGUAUGAGAAACAGAAAGCAGUCUGAUGUCUACUACACAAUCUUUUUUUUUAGACAUUGUUGGUCCUCCAAGUGCAGAGGUUUGUAGGACGGUAGCAAAUUUCCCUCAAGUGGAUGACCUAAGGUUUAUCAAUUCGUGGGAGGCGUAGGAUGAAGAUGGCCUCUCUCAAACAACCCUGCAACCAAAUAACAAAGAGUUCCCCAACACACCCAAUACAAUGGUAAAUUGUAUAGGUGCACUAGUUCGGCGAAGAGAUGGUGAUACAAGUGCAAUAUGGAUAGUAGAUAUAGGUUUUUGUAAUCUGAAAAUAUAAAAACAGCAAGGUAAAAAUAAUAAAAGUGAGCACAAAUAACGUUAUUGCAAUGCGUUGAAACAAGGCCUAGGGUUCAUACUUUCACUAGUGCAAAUUCUCUCAACAAUAAUAACAUAAUUGGAUCAUAUAACUGUCCCUCAACAUGCAACAAAGAGUCACUCCAAAGUCACUAACAGCGGAGAACAAACGAAGAGAUUAUUGUAGGGUACGAAACCACCUCAAAGUUAUUCUUUCGGAUCGAUCUAUUCAAGAGUUCGUACUAGAAUAACACCUUAAGACACAAAUCAACCAAAACCCUAAUGUCACCUAGAUACUCCAAUGUCACCUCAAGUAUCCGUGGGCAUGAUUAUACGAUAUGCAUCACACAAUCUCAGAUUCAUCUAUUCAACCAACACAAAGAAUUUCAAAGAGUGCCCCAAAGUUUCUACCGGAGAGUCAAGACAAAAACGUGUGCCAACGUCUAUGCAUAAGUUCACGAGGUCACGGAACUCGCAAGUUGAUCACCAAAACAUACAUCAAGUGGAUCACGUGAUAUCCCAUUGUCACCAUAGAUAAGCACAUGCAAGACAUACAUCAAGUGUUCUCAAAUCCUUAAAGACUCAAUCCGAUAAGAUAACUUCAAAGGGAAAACUCAAUCCAUUACAAGAGAGGAGAGGGGGAUAAACAUCAUAAGAUCCAACUAUAAUAGCAAAGCUCGCGGUACAUCAAGAUCGUGCCGAAUCAAGAACACGAGAGAGAGAUAAAAACAUAGCUACUGGUACAUACCCUCAGCCCCAAGGGUGAACUACUCCCUCCUCAUCAUGGAGAGCACCGGGAUGAUGAAGAUGGCCACCGGUGAGGGAUCCCCCCCGGCAGGGUGCCGGAAUGGGUCUAGAUUGGUUUUCGGUGGCUACAGAGGCUUGCGGCGGCGGAACUCCCGAUCUAGGUUAUGUUUUGGAUGUUUGGGUAUAUAUAAGAGUUUUUGGCGUCGGGAACAAGUCAGGGGGGUCUCCGAGGCGGCCACGAGGUAGGGAGGCGUGCCCAGGGGGUAGGGCGCGCCCCCACCCUCGUGGGUGCCUCGGGACUCUUCUGGCCCAUCUUCGAUGCUCCAUGGGCUUCUUCUGGUCCAAAAACAAUCUCCGUCACAUUUCAGGUCAAUUGGACUCCGUUUGGUUUUCCUUUUCUGCAAUACUCGAAAACAAGGAAAAAAACAGAAACUGACACUUGGCUCUAGGUUAACAGGUUAGUCCCAAAAAUAUAUAAAAUAGCAUAUAAAUGCAUAUAAAACAUCCUAGAUGGAUAAUAUAAUAGCAUGGAACAAUCAAAAAUUAUAGAUACGUUGGAGACGUAUCACAGUCAAGUAGUCAUCUUCAAACCGUGUUUUUUUUCUUUGUAUUUCCUUAUUCAAUCCCGAAAAGAAAUUGUAUUUCCUUAAAAGUCGGUGUUUUGUAAUCUUCCUAUAAAGCUGCUAGUUUGUUGCCAAAAAAUACAAUUGCAUGCUUUGGUAGUGGUAGGUAGCCAGUAGAACUUCUAACAUGUAAGUUAAAGGGUACAAUGAUAUACUGCAUUCCUUCCGGCCAACCGAUCUACCUUCCCGAUGAAGUAUCUCGGAUUGCCACUGUCGGUCAAGAGGCUAAAUAGGAUCCACUUCCAGUACCUGGAGGACAAGAUUGUGGCCAAGCUUACUCCAUGGCUGGGCGUGCUCAUGGCACCUCCGGGAAGGGCGGUGCUGGUCAAGUCUGUCAUCACGGCUAUCGCUAUAUACUAUAUGACAACGUUAAACCUACCGAUUGAGGUCUUGGAAGAGAUUGAUUCUCUUCGCCGAGCCUUUCUUUGGGCUGGCUGUGACAAGGUCACUGGUGGCAAAUGCAAGAUCAACUGGAUGCAGGUCUGCAAGUCCAAGGUUCAUGGGGGGCUGGGCAUCUUAAUUCUAAAGAAGUUUGCGUCUGCGCUUCGCAUCUGGUGGCUUUCGGCAGAAUGGUUGGAUCCGCCGAAGCCGUGGGUUCGCUUGGGCAAUCCUUGCGACGAGAAUGAUAAAAACAUUUUUGCGGCUGCCACCAAGGUGCUUCUCGGCAAUGGUCUUCGGGCCUCUUUCUGGGAGUCCGCUUGGCUCGAUGGUUUGAGGCCCACAGACAUCGCGCAGAAGAUUUUUGAUCUAUCAAAAAGAAGGGGCUGUUCGGUUCAAAAGGCAUUGCAGAAUAAUUUCUGGGCCUACCAAAUUAACACGGACGAGAUCACCUCCAGUAGACAUCUGACCAAGUUCACCAACCUUUGGGAGAAGAUUUCUACGGUGCACCUAAACCCCGAGAUGGCUGAUUCUAUUUCCUAGAAACUCACUAACGAUGGCAUUUACUCUGCAUCCUCGGCCUACAAGGCCCAGUUCCUGGGUUUGGUUGACUCCAACAUGUAACAAUUGGUGUGGAAGAUCUGGGCUCCCCCCAAAUGCAAAUUCUUUGCUUGGCUAGUUAUCAAUAAAAGGAUCUAGACGGUCGACAGGCUUCAACGCCGGGGUUGGCCUAACUGCAACCGUUGCCCCCUAUGCAAACAAGAAUCCGCGGCCCACCUACUGUUCCAGUGCCGCUACACGGUUCGAGUUUGGGGAAUGAUCAAGUCUUGGCUUAGCUUGGUGGAUGUGCACCCUUCUACUUGGAUGGCCAUCCAUUCGGUAAAGGCCUGGUGGAACCUUAUUGAUUCCAAUAUGUCGCAAUCUAGACGGCCGAUGAUGUCCCUCAUUAUGCCUAUCUCGUGGGAAAUUUGGAACGAGAGAAACGCACGUGUGUUCCGUAACACCGCGGUGCCGGUAGGGGUUCUUGUUGCUAGAAUCAAAGAUGUAUCCAAGCUAUGGUGUCUUGCAGGGGCAAGGUAUUUGAGUAAUAUAGUGCCACAAGAGUAAUGUGUUGUAAUUCGGCUUUUUGGCCAAAACCUCUAAACCUUCUUCUUAAUCCAUGAAAGUGGCAAAUCUUUUGCCCAGUUUCAAAAAAGGAUACAAUGCCCGAUAAAUAUUCAUGAUAAAUAUACUUGUCCCUUUUUCUAGAUCAAUGGUCUGGUGGUUCUUGAGGAUACUUCAAACAGUGCAAAGAAUCUAUUGUGUUUACAUGACCGCAAAGAAUCUAUUGUUGUUAUGCCAUAAAGUCCAUGGACAUGAUAAACCAACAUAGACAGGGAUCAGGAAGUUAAAAUGGAUGGAGUUCUGGAGCGGGAAAAUUGUAUAAGGACCCAGUGGUGAUGGAAACUGAUAGCACGACAGUGGGGACGGAGCUCCAGGAAGGCUUAACGAACCGAUCCAACUGUUUCUCCCUGUUGGUUGACAUAAAAACGAAGCUUCUAACUUCCCAUGUGAGAUCAACAUCGUAGGGAGGAAUUGUAAUAGUCUGGCUCACGAACUGUCAGCUAAAGCAAGGAGGAAUGGUAAUCUGACGCUGAUAGGCAAGGUUCCGGAUACUCUUCAGAAAGUCUAUUUGCUCGAUUGUAACCCAACCUCUCGGUAGACUACUAAUUAGUUCUAAAAAGAAGUUAAAAUGGUUCCUACGUAGUAAUAUAGUCACUGGUCGUUGUUAUCUCCAUAGUGGCUAGUUCCGCUUUCGUCGACAAAAUGUGAUGGCUUCUCUGAAUUCUCAGUCUUGUACCCACUUGUUCCUAUUUAAGUGUUCUAUUUACCAGCUUCAGUCUGAAAUGUAAGAUGAGCACAUAAUAUGAUGUUCUCCUAACUUGGUGCUAUGAACAUAUUUAAUUUGGAUAGAAGAUUUUCAAUUCUUUGUUAGGGGCCGAACACAAAUAGUUUCUUUCGUCAAUGAAAAUGUUCACUAAACCAAAUAUCAGGUUCACAUGUUAUUUAAAGGGCACUAAAAAAUAAGCAGACAAUAUGAAUUGCCAUACAUGCCUCGCUAAAACCCUGCCCUCAUGUGGCAAAGAGCCCUCUCAUCUAUGAUUAAGAUUUGAGGAGAAAUUGAGGGAGUAAUAUUUUUGGGUUGUUAGGAUUCUUAAGCACACUCAACACAUGUAGUUGUUCGUUCAAGGGAAAAAAUGCAGUUGUUCGUGAAAUCUGAAUUUUGACCAAUGUUAGUAAGUCAAUGGUCAACAACUUGAACAAUGAUGAUUUGGUGGUGGAGUUGUUGGCAACUAUAGGUCAAGUCAAAUAUUAACAUCCUCGCAGAACAAGUCUAGCGUCAACAAAGAUGAGGUCAAAAUUAGGCAAUUGCCAGUCUUACGUCCUUAGCACCCAUGGUGCGAGAAUGUUUCAGGAAGAAAAUUGUGGAUAUUCCCUGAUUAGCAUGGGCGUUGAUGUUCAACUUAAUUUAAGCCACCAACCAAAUGGUUUCAAAAAAUCUAGUUUAUAACUGAAGAUCACUAAAAACAUCUAGCUAUAAUAAUUUUGAGGAAUUUGCAUGUUUUUCGCUUCGGCAAACAGCCAGUUUAACUAACUUCACUAAAACCGCGAUAUUACAGAGUGAACUUUAUUCAGCCUGGACUUGCACGGAUGUAAAUUACAUAUGAAUUAAUCUAAAGUUCUUCACUCGUUCAGAGAAACUGCUUCCACAACUCGAUUGUCCACGUGCAUUUUCACCUCCAGAGAUUCACAUGUAGUGUGAUCAUAUUGGGUAUACUGAUACAAGCCGGGGUUCUUUUCCUUCGUCGGAUCAGGUCCUCGACGAUCUCUUUCUAUAGACUCAAGCUCAAACAAGAAUGUGCACAUGUCUGCACGCAUUGGACCGCCCUGUGUUUGUAAGAGCUGACCGAUUGGCUACGGAAAAGACGCUCCCUGACUUCUCAUGACCAAACCACUUGGAGCGACAGCUGCACGUCGGCCCUCGCCGGUAAGGUCCGUAAGGGUUGGUUUCUUCUUUAGAGUGAGCUUGUGCUGCAACCCGAUCCCCCCUGCUUUCCUCGCCCUUUGUUGCACCCCCCGCCGGCUUCCUGUCAUUCAACUCGCUUCCUUAGCUCUAGCCCUAGCUUCCCUCCCAGCUUCGUUCCCUGGCUUGGUCUAUGGAUGGUUCCGAGUUCGAAGAUGCUAUGUUGGCCAAGUAUGGGUGCGGUAUGGUUGAGGCUGUCACCGGACGCUGCCGGCAUGCUGGCGUGCUCGCUACAGUCCUCACCGACGGUGUGCUGCUCUCUCCUAAGGCUUUCGCUUCGCUCUUGGUCAGUUGGUUUGGGGGAUGGGCCAACGGCUAUUGCGUUCAAACGCGCCGGCGUGGCACCUUCCUCUUCUAGGUCGCACAUGAGUACAUUGCCAAGGAGAUCGUGCUCCACGAACCCUGGAGCUCUGGCUUCCUUUCUGUUAGUAUGUCGCUUUUCGCCCUGGAGCCUUCUGCGUGUCGUGAGGUCUCGUCUAGCCGCCUUGGCGCGCGCGGCCGGAUCUGGCAGGCUAACGCUCUCUUGCCUUCUGUCCUUGGGCCGCGCCCCUCGUGCUCGUCUCAUCUGCGCCAGGUUGGCAGUCAAUCGAUAGCGCAUUUCCCGCAUGGCCAGAUUUCUGCGGAUCCCGUCAUCGCUUUGCACGGGUCGUGCCCUCGCGCAUGCAGCUGCGCGCCUACAUGCAAUCAAUUGCAUGCUAGCCCUUUCCCCCAUAAUCCUGGCCUUUUGCUGGCACCGCCUCCUGGUGACCAACCCGCUGUUGUUCAACGCUCGGAUUCCUCCGUAGCUGUUGGCAACGCUUCGGCUGCCACCCCCGGCUCCCCUUCCUCUCCUCUGACCGCGCCUGGCGUCCCCAGCUAUAGAGAGGUGCUGCUGUCUAAUGCAGAUUCACCGUAUCCACCUCCUGCAAGCUUGGGUUCUGCACCAAAUCGCCCUUUUCGAUUUGGAAGGCCUAAAGACCUGUCCCAGCGCUGCUUCCGAUGCCUCGCCUACAGCCACCGCCGCCGCGAUUGCCGGGAUCCGGCUGUUUGCUGGACGUGCCGCUUAGUUGGGCAUUUUAGCUAUCAGUGCCUUCUCUGUUUCUUUCACUCUCCUUCCAGCCGCUCCGCCCCGGCCUUAAGUACCAGCCCAAACCCAUCCGCUCACCCCACUCUCGCCCUCGACUAGCCUUCUCCCUCCCGCGCCCUCGCUCCUCCUCAUAGCUCUUCUAGCCCACCCUCCCCUCUCAUGGAGCCUGUUGUGCAUGGCCGCCCCUCCUCCCUGGAUGUGCACUACCCCAUGGUGCCGGACCAAAACUCCCUCGUUUGCCUAGUCAACAUCACCCCCCCGAAAGCUGCCUUCUUGCCUUGGCUCAAAUUCGUUUUCCGUCACCACCUUGGCAUCACGGCGGUGCGCUUCGCUGAUGCCACUGUGGGGACUGCCUUCGUGAUCUUCCAGCGGGAGUCCGAGUAGGUUGCGGCCCUGCGCGCCAGCCCUCUCGCUCUGGCGGAUCGCACCGUUUGGAUCCUGCCUCACAAUGCCGACGACAACGCCUUCUCCUUUGCCUACCGCCAUGUUGUGAGCUUGUCUCUCGAGAAGAUGCCUUUGGAGCUGUGGAACCGGCGUGGGGUGGCAGCGAGUGUUGCUGGAUUCGCCAGCCUGUUCCGCCUCGUGCAUGCUUGCCUCCAUGGCAGCGAGUUCUCAAGCAUCUUCGUCCUGGUUAAGGUGGAAGCUCUCCACCACAUACCUCACCACCUCACCUUCCACCGCGUCGACGGCAAUGGCACCUACGCCGACGUGAUCAUCAAUGAGAUCUGGGACAUCGCCCGAUCGCUCGGCGCACCCACUGCACCACCUUGCCGUGGUGAGGAGGGGGGUGUGGGCGAGCCACGGCCGGGCGCCUUGCCGCGCUUCGUCGGGAGCGGGGGCGGGAGCAACGCGCGCUCGGCCGCACCGCCGCGCUGUGGUCAUCCCCUCGCUCAUUCUUCCGCACCUUACACGGCGGAGGAAGGAAUGGCAGACCGGGCCUUCCAUGCUUUUCUGCACCCGCAGAUGGCCAAGGUGGACGACUGCCUCGCCAUGCUCAGGCUCUCCGCUAAACCUAAGCUCAUCAAAGGCGCCACCUUCUCCUUUCCAUCGGCGGACCAGAUUCUGCAUGAGGACGAGCUACGCCUCUGCCUCUACUCCUCGUUGUUGGCGGCUGACGUGCGCACUCCGCGUGUCACGGUCUCGUUCGACAUUGACUCGCUAUGCUUCUCCUUCACGCUGGAGCUCACCAAUUGCCGGGCGAUCACUGGGCUCAUCUCGGUGCGGCCGGUGACCGUGGGCGAUGUUUUUUUCCUUGCUUCAACUAUCUCACAGAGGAGCUUGCGCGGGAAAGCUGCCGAUCCCUGCUUUUCAAAUUCUGGCCCAAGGAGGUGGGUGGUGGGCUCUGUCCGCGCACUCUGCCCUUGCUCCCCUCUGUUGAGGCCCGCAACCCGCCCAAGCCCAAUGUGCCUGCCAACAUUCUUCCAAUGGCUGGCCCGCUGCUUUCCUCCAUGGACCCAAACACCCUCCCUCCUGCGGCCCAGUUCCCAGUCCAGGCACACCUUCAAGCUCAUCAGAUCCUUACUACCCGGCCCAUCUGCACCAGGCCUCUCCACUAUAUUCCUAGGGCUGAGCCAGGGAUCCUCCCCACUAACCAGCCUUCUCCAGUGAUUGCCACUGACCUCAUCCAUGGCGCUUGUGCGGCGCUCCCCCCGCAUGUGGCCACCGUCUUCUGCAGUUGUCGCGAUCUGCCGCGCGAGCCUGCAGCAAAUGACUUCUUCGCCUCUAAGGCCGUGCUGCAGCUCCUUCCUCCCGCCCCUGGUUCUGCUGCUGUCACACCAGGCGCUCCGGCCAUGCUGGAUCUUAACUUGGAUCUGCGGGGGUCGGACCUGCCUCUGGUGGAGAACGACGUGAUCGCCCCCAGUCUGGUGGCCGCUCCUGUGGGGUGGCACCGCCUGCUGCCUCGUCCCCGCGGUGCAGCCCGCGCAUUCAGCAGGCAUACGACGGGGUUCAGGUGAGCCCGGUGGAGUGUGCCGCCAAGCGCAAGGCGAUGGAGUCUGGCUCCAGCUCCAGCAGCGGCCCCUCCCGGCGCCCGGGCUCCUCCAACCGACGCAAGAAGGCCAGGGCCAAGGCGCCGGCUGUGGCCGGCCUCCUGGAGCUUCCUCUACUUGCGACCCUGACUCCACUCACCAGGAGCAAGCUCAAGCUGAUCGCCCAAGGCUGUGACCUCAACGCCUCAGCCAUCCUCGACCAAGCCAGGACCCGCGCGUAAUCUGCUGCUUUGGGCGAGGCGCCUGCCUCCCCUUCUGUCAGCGCUUCCUCUGCUUCCUCUGUGCGCAUCCUCGACACCCCAAAUGCAUAAUUCCUCUGCUGUCAGUCGGUGGUUGACGCUUGAGACCGCCGUUUUGCUGUCAUCUAUGUUUGUUAGUGUUUCAUCUUAUCUAGUCCAGGAUUUGCAAUCGAGUCGUAGUCGUGUGCCUGCUGUCUUUGUAGUGGUUGUGGCUAUCUGCUUCAGUCUGUACUGCUCUAAUAUGUAUCGAGUUUGUUUCCUUUCCAACAAGAGAUAUCAUGUUUGCUUUCUGCCCCAUGUUUCUUCUAGCUUUCUUAUGCUUUGCUUGCUCUUUCUCUCAGGUUGCUUGCACAAUGUUUCUCUAUGAAGAUACUAAGCUGGAAUGUCCGCGGCCUCGGUGACGACGAUAAGUGUUCGCUCGUCCGUGAUGCCAUAACUUCUUGUUGUCCUAGUGUCGUGUGUUUGCAGGAAACGAAGCUGGCCUCCCUCACUCCGUUCAAGUUGAGAUCGUUCCUACCCAUGAAUUUCACAGAUCACGCUGUUACUCUGUCUGAAGGCACAUAUGGGGGGAUCCUGGUGGCGUGGGACUCCUCAAGUGUUUCUGGGCAAGUUGUUGCUGAGCACAGAUACCACGUUACGGUCAAGUUGGGUUCUACUGAAACUAACUGCCAGUUCUUGCUCACUGCUGUGUAUGCACCCUGCCUGAGCACCGAGCGGUCUACGUUUUUUGAGGCAGUUUCUGAAGUGGCAGCCGAUUCCGACACACCAUGGGCCGUUUUGGGAGACUUCAACAUGUACAGAUUCUCACACGAGAAAUCAAGGGGCCGGAUUUGUUGGACUACUAUGGAACAUUUCAAUUCUUGGAUCAGAGAGCAUGGCUUGGACGACAUCCCAAUUGAGAACAAGUUGUUUACCUGGUCCAACAAGCGAAGCUCACCAACUUUGGUUCGUCUAGAUCGUGCUCUUGUUAAUGCUGCCUAGGGUCUAAACUUUAUGCAGACUGCAGCCUCUUGCCCGCCCUCUAUUACCUCGGAUCAUGCUCCGAUCCUGCUUCAUUUCUCUGCUAACACUCCCAAGAGCAAGCUCUUUCGCAUGGAAAACCACUAGUUGGAAAUGGAAGAGUCAAGAGAGCUCAUUAUCAGUUGCUGGAGCAGAGGGCUUAGACACAUCUCCUCCACCCUCAUCAACUUUAAGAUGAGGCGGCUGCGGGCUGCCCUACGACAAUGGAAUCGACGCAAAACUUGUCUUCGUGUGCUGAUUGAAAACAACAAACAUGUUGUUUGCUUCCUCAAUGUUGUGGAGGAGAGGAGGCAAUUGUCUUGUUUGGAAACUGUUUUCAGGGAAGUCGCUUCAGCCAAGGCAGAGUAGAUGAUAUUAUGGCAAACCGCGAUUUAGCGUCGCAGGGCCAAAGUGAGGUGGUGUGUAUCCAGGGAUGAAAAUUGCAAGUUCUUCCGCGCAGCGGCCAACUGCCAAUCCCGUCAUAAUAAGGUUAAAGUCCUAAUCCACAAUGCGGUCGAGCACUACCAGAACAACCAGAAACUUGGCAUUGCAACUGAGUAUUUUUCUGCGGUUUUGGGACAGCCGGUUGUUUCUUUGCCAACAGUACAGCUUAGCUCCUUGUACACGCCUAUGGAUCUUUCUGGGCUUGCAGUUCCUUUCUCCCGGGCUGAGAUUGUUGAGGCUAUCAACAAAGCUCCAAAUAAUAGGAGCCCAGGACCAGACGGAUUUACCAAUGAGUUCUACAAGGUUUUCAAGCAUCUCCUUAAGGAUGACCUAAUCAGAUUCUUCGAAGACCUACACAGCAACAAGGUCAACCUUGAUGGUAUCAAUACUGCCUACAUCACUUUGCUGCCCAAAAAGGAUACGCCCUUGGAAAUAAAGGACUACAGACCCAUCUCUCUGGUUCAUAGCAUGCCCAAGCUAGCUUCCAAGAUCCUGCAGCACUCUGACAUUCUUUGCUACCAGUGGUUCACUCUGCAGUAUCGCCAGAUAGCUAUACCUCUUGGGGCUUCCAGCAGAGAUACUGCCAUGUGGCGUGGUUUCAAGGAUCAUAUCCCCAUGGUCAUAAACUCCUCACGCUGGACUCUGGGCUCGGGCAAGCUCAUUUCCUUCUGGCAUGAUCAUUGGGUCGAAGCAGGCAGGCUCUUCUUGCUGCUCCCUGUUCUGUACUCCUUUGCCAGGAACCAUUGCUACUCGGUUAGCUUGCAGUUCUCAGACGGUGCUUGGUCAGUACAACUCCACCCCAAUCUCUCCCACUCUGCUGAGCGCGAGCUACUGCUGCUGCAAAAUCUUAUUGCUUCUCUAGCUCCCGACGGUUCAUGCGAAGACAGGCGUACUCCCUCAGUUUUUUAUAAGCAAAACAGCACGGCCUACUUCUACCGUCUGCUGACCUUCCGUGGUGUUUCUUGUACCUUCCAUGAUUGGGUCUGGGAUACGUCGAUUCCCUUGAAGCACAAAACCUUCCUCUGGUUAGCUUUUUGGGGCCGGCUAAACACCAGAGACAACAUGAUCAAGAAGCAUUGGACGACCGUUGCUGCAUGCUCCGGUUGUGAUCUAUGCCCAGCAGUGGAAUCGGUUCAUCAUAUAAUGUUGCACUGCAGGGCGGCAUCUACACUAUGGCAUCACAUGCGCUUGGCAUCGUUGAAUGACAGGUCGCCAGAUAUACUAUCCUUCGUCCAACAAGCUACUGCUCAUCUACAGUUCAAGCGCAAAUGGAACAUGGCUUUUGCUGCACGUGCCAUCACUCUCUGGCAUGCACGAAACGAUCGUGUUUUCAACUCACGUUCAUGGGCAGACUCUUACGUAAGAUAUUAUGCUGUAGAUUUGAUCUGCCUUUGAUGCUGCAGGACCAAGAAGCAACAAGAUAAAGAGGACCUCACGUUUUGGCGCAAUCUUGUAGCAACAUAGUCACAUAGUUUCUUCCUAUUGUUUCUCUCCUACCUGCCUCAACCCCUCUCUUUUAUCGGUUCUUGUUGGGUUUGCACUAAAGUGCACCCCACAAGCUUCAUGUAACCGUUCGUUGUUCCUCAGGCUACGGCCUGUUUUGAAAUAUAAAGGAGGCUGGAGCCCCUUUCUUUUUCAAAAAAAAACCCUCAGUGGUUUCAACUUUCAAGGAAGCAAUUUCCGUCCCAUGCGUGAUCACGGUGUGCACGCGGUGACCGACCAUGACCAGGCCGGACACAGGACCAGUGUACACCGGCCGGGUUCCCCUCAGUGGAACAGCCGGAAUCGAGGCUCAGGAGAAAAACCAAACGCCGCUUGCCGUGGAACUCGCGAAUCCGUGAGCACAAAUCACUGAUUAGAACGGCACAUGCUGCAGUUGGAGCCUCUCCAUAGUUGAACUCUUUGCCGUGUACGUAUAUAAGAUUCCAGAAUAUCUGGUCAACACAAGUCAAGUCUGCAGUGAGGAGCGAAACUACACACCGGAGGCCGGAAGUAUGCAUCAGUAUGGCUUUACAUUCAGACCGGAAUAUCCUUCGUCAUUUACUCAUUUGGAGAUGGAAAUUGCACGGACGACCAAGACGGGAACAAAAGCGGGUUCCAGAUCUUGAGACGAAGCUUCAAUAGAUCAAGUGGAGCCGAAAGUGCUAUUCUGAGCCCGAGCUCAGAUGCACCUGUUAUCCUGACCAUUCUUCAGCGCCAAGAUUCGCUCCAGUGUGUGUAUUUCACAGUGUAUUCUCAGCAGUAUUGGAUGCUUUUCCAGAGGAUAGGGCCCACCCACCUACCGCAUUUAUUUUAACGGCCGCCCCCCUCCCGCUACUCAUGCUCAGACUUAUGAAGUUUUAGUUGCAUUUACCACAAAACGAAUGUCGAACAGAUGCCUCCAUCUUAUUUUCCAUUUUCCAUACACGCGAGCAUCUUUACCGACAAGCAUCCAUGAAAAUGCUAUCCACCCAUGCUUUGUCAGCUCACCAUCAGGGCCAAAUUGAUGUAUGAAAUCAUCCCCACCCAGGACAAUGAGGUACAUGACCAGGUGUUUGAACCAUUUCCUGCGUGUAGAUUCCCAAUUAGGUCUGGACACAUGUACUAAAUGGCAUAGACAAAUCUGGCAAGUAGUCAUCAGAAAACAACUACCCACCUGUCACGAUCACUCGGUGUGCUGUGCACCAUCUUGUCGUAGAACCGCACCACGUCCUGAGCAGUGGGUAUAUCAUGCUUAAGUCCGAAUUUCCCAGGGAACUUCUCACCCAUCUCACCCUUAACCUCAAUCCUUAGUAUUCCCUCUGGAAACCUCAGAUUUCUUGACAGUCUCUCUGAUACCGGCACUGAAAUUUUCAGAAACAUUGCAUAUAAGCAUGCAAAUAGAUUCCCAAUCUCAACCAGACAAGCUAAUGUAUUAAGCUCCAAACUUAUCAUUGGAAACAACGUCUGGUCACCUGUUGCUCCGUGGUGCCGAGCAGCUGCUGAACCAUCCGUUCCUGUCACAUGUGAACAUAUUAUUACACUACUUGAAAAUAGAACCAAUGGUAUUCGCUGUAUACUUCAGGUAAAUCUCAGAACCCUGUGUUUUACCUUGGUUAGAAUUUUGUACCCGAUGUGGCAACUGGGUCGAGCUUCCCCCAACUUCCGUCACUGUCACUUUUUUUGUGAAGUAUUAUAUAAUUGAAAACGAAAUAAGGUGCAUGAAAAAAUUACUUUUCUCAUUUUUCAUGUGCAUGAGAGCUCACCAGUUCUCCCUGCAAACGUAUCCCCAGGGAUACUAUCAUGCCUAUGGAGUCUGCCAACAGUGACAGGUUCAUCAUCAGGACCUAUGUCCACGCCAGCUACAAGACACACCAACAGAUCAACUCAGAUUAACCGAUCCAAUGUUAUCAAUAAUUCAACGCCCGUGUAAACAUGCCCACUCACCAGCAUGGCCGUGUACUGGACCAAUAGGAUCCACUACAUUAGCUUCAGUUAUGCCAUCACUAACUGGACCAGCAGCAUGCGCCCGUACCACGCCACCACUGACAGUGUUGCCAACAACUGUAGAUUUUUCAUAUAGGUAAUCUUCAUCUCAUAUUUUUCAACACAUAAAAAAUGAAGUGCACAUUAUCGCAAAAUUGACAUUUUACCUGUACCCUGUGUAGCUGGUUCCCCAUUGUCCUCACCACUAGCAUCGUUCCCGUCGUCAGAACUGCUAUCAUCAGUUUCAGAGCUGUCCGUUGGACAAAUUGUCUGAACAACAUUCGAGAACUUAACUCUUCUUCGGUGCUUACUCUCUGCCUUUCUUGAUUUCCUUGUCUUACGUUUCUUCUGGGGGGCAGCCCUCCUCCCUGCAGAAUCAAACACAAUUUUCGCAAACAUAUGUUAGAUAGAGAAGUAUCAAUUUUUCUCCGUUUCACUUGUCUGAUUUAAUUAGAUUUUACCUCUUUUUUGUCGAUGCAUGGAUACGCCACUCCGACAGUAGUAAUAAUCAUCUAAGCUGGUCUGAACCACUACAUCUACAGGAAGAAAUAUUUGUCAGGUUCUCAUCAACACGUCUUGCUUGCAGCGCGUACUUAUGAAUCGUUUUUUUCGAUCACAUACCUGAACCUGAUGAUCGCCCUGCCAUCGCCCUUGUCCCCAUUGAACCAGCAAAACCCACACGAGAAGAGACGAUCUUGAUUUGCUCGUCAGUAGCUGCAGCAGAAACAUGCAAGGAUGAGUACCCCUAUACAGUUCCAAUCAUUUUCUCAUGGACCGUCUAAUUUUUCACAUGUUAUGUUUCUACUCACCGUUGCGAUCAUAAAGCUUCUCUUAUAUUUCUGCUACAUGAGUAUCAUUAGCCACUUGGUCCCUUGCGUCCUGAUCAAUCUCCUCCUGAAUCUUCUUAGCAACUUCCUCAUCUUUCGCAUGGCGCUCUUUUCCUUUCCUUCCUUCAUCCUCCAGAAUCUUCCUUGCCACUUCUGCGUCAUGCUUUUCUUGUUCCCUUAGCCUUUUGUCAGUGUCCACCUUAUUUACGUGCUCAUGUCCAGACCACAUUUCAAAAUCAGACUCGUGAUGGCUAUCAAUGUCAACUCCAUACGAAACUCCUCCUGGAGCAACCAAUGAUAAGUGCUGGUUGGCAUCAACGGUUGUUUCCUCUAGCACGUCUGCAGUCAUCAUGGGUCGCUUAGUCAACAUACAAAAAUUCAUUCUGCUGAAACAUUUGAAAUCAUGGUCUGAAGCUGCAUUGCACACUCCACGUCGAUGUCGACAACACGAGGCUGUUGAGUGCAAUGCACGUCAAUCUCAUCCUUCACAGUCACUGCCUCAACUUGCAUUGCCGUGAUCUCUUGCAGAACAGUGUCCAUUUCACUAGCAGCAGCUGCAUAGUCCAACAGGCCUAUCUUUUUUGUUUACGUGUCCAAAAUAAAUAAAUUACGUACGUGCUUAUUUUUCAGACAUGACAUGGAAUACCUGAUGUUCGCUCGACAACAUCAGUUCGAGCCCUUUUUUGUCUUGAACCCACAUUUCCUUGAUUCGCUACUCGGGCGUGCCGUGCAGGCCCUACAGUUUUUAUCAAGUUAGGCAUCCUGGUCAAACCAGACAUCAAAACUACAUUUUCACAUCUGCGAAAGCAAUACCAAAAUCAUACCUCCAACAUCUCCCAGACGUAUCCCUUCUUUAGCUCCACCCCCCAACAUAUCUAUGAGUUUUUAUUGGAAAUGUUGUUAGGUAUCAUCUUGCUCAUGGUUACAUACAUAUAAUUGCUACAAUGUAGUCAGCCCGUGAGGCACUAACCUUGUCUUCGUAGGUGACGAGCAGCGUUCCUGGAGCGACGCUCACGAAUUUCCUCAUCAUUCUCAUCACUGUCGGAUGACUCCAUCUCAGAUUCUAUAGCUGCCGCCUUCUUGCCUUUCUCUGCUGCACUUAUCCGAGUAGACCGCCUAAGUGGGGUAGUUGCUGAAGGCGCCAUUGGAGGUGGUGUUGACAUCACAGUAUGUUCAACACCAAGUACUCCACCUGCAUCAGAAAACAACAAUGCCACGAUCAGUCACCAUAAAGAUCGUAAUGGCACACCACAUUCAAGUUCCUGGUUGUUUCUUAAAAAUUUUAAAGCACUUACUGUGUGCGAAAGGUAUUGGUUCCGCCAAUGUUGUGGUCACGACGGUACAUUCGCUAUCCACAGCUACAUCAUCUUCAAAGUUCCUAAUCUCUUCUACAUUAUCCUGCAUGCUUAUAACAAUCAGCAAUAGGCACUAAAAUAACAGGAAGUCUUUCAUAAAUUUCAGGAUGAAAGCUAUCACCAGAGUAAUGCUGCCUGCUACCAAAGGAUGCCACUGCAUCUGAAGAUUAGUAAUGUAUCAAUCAGGCCUUGUCUGCAUCAGAACAACAGCUGUCAGAGUUAGUACUGUAGUUUUCAUUUCUCUGAAGAUUUGCACGCACACUCCUUCCAUUUACAAAAGGUUGUACUUACUCUAUAAGCAGCAGGAUUAGCCUUGAUUAGCUUAAUUAGCUUGGCAACUUGGUUAUGUGUGUAAGCUGCUAUCCUUGGCCCAAAGCUUGGAUACAAGUUAUGAUUCCCGAAGUCUAUCCAGUCCAGAGUGAAACACUGCACAACAAACAAAAUGUGUUAGAAAGGUUGUACUUUUUAGUGUUGGCAACAGCAUAAGGACAUGCACAAUGAUUGAAAGGUGCAUUCCAACAACUCACUUUAAGGAAAAGUGGAUUGCCACACAAGCAUCCAUGCUAGCGAGUACGUCCGCAUGUAGCCUUCUGGCAGCCCUUCUAGCCAUCUCCAACAAAUAGGCUCCCCAGUUGUAUGACCCAAUCUGUGUUGGGUCUUGCACGACAAGCAAAAUUUCUUCAGGAAUGACAUGCACGGACUGCCUUGGACCAAUGAACGUGGCGCACACAACUAUGGUGACAGCAACCAUGAAAGCAACUGUGUCCUCUCUGGUCAUGCAGCAAGGGUUGAUCUUGCUAAUGACAUCUCUGCAGUCUUUCACACUAACAGCCCCCGUGCCCUCUAAGCGUAGAUACCUCCUGAUGUUAUCCAUCAGGUCAGAUCUGUGAGUUGGUGCCCCGAACUCCACUAAUCUACCUCUACCAGUCACCCCAAAGAUCCUAACCGCAUCCUGGACCGUGAUUCUUCACACCUCACCGUCCCAAAAUACAAAUGUCAUGUUUCUUGGGUUGACCCUGGAAAGCAGAGUUGCGUAGAAUUUUCGAUCUACAGUCCGGGCGUACCGGUUAGUGAGCAAGCUAGCUAGCCCAGUGGGAAUGGCGACGCUGUAGAAGACGGGGCCGAUGGUCAGCAGUGGCGGAGUAGCGAACAUGCUCGAGUACGUUGCCCGCCUUCUUAGCUCGACCACCGGCGAGCCGCUCGCUGACACCACCAUCGACAAGCUCCCCCAGCGCUUGUUCAUUUUUCUCUGGCUAGAUCCUCCCGCCUUGUCUGGUUCAUCGAUCGAUCUGCGCCGCUUCCGACUCCCUGGAUCGUCAUCGGUCGCCAUAUAGCUCCUGCGGUCAAACAGACAUUGCCGUAGCAAGCAGCAGAGGUCACAGAUGAGCUCCCAAAGGAAGAAGAACAUAAUAUGGAUGAGAGAGAGGUGCAGAUAUGUCGCCGGCGCAUGCGCUCGCGUUACUCACCUGUGAGCCGCCUUCAAUGCCGCCGGAUAGCGGAUCUGCGCCGCUUUCCCAGCGAUAGCUCGGACCUUGUUCUCCCCCAGGCUGCUGUGAGGGAGAAGGAGUGUGGUGUUGGGGAGUGGAGUGAGCAGUACCGCAGCAGCUAGCCUAAGAGAGGUAAUAGUCUCUUCGGUUUCACCCGAGGCCGCCUGCCACCUGACAACUUUUUACCACCACAGUGGUAAAUACGAAUCUCUCUUUUUUUAUCACCCAAAGUGCUACAGUCUUAGAUAUUUUGGGUUACACUGGCGGGAACUUUCCCGCCCACACCCGCUGGCACGUCGGUCGGUCCACACCGAACACGAGCAUACAACAUUUUCGUUGUACCGUUCACUCCUGCCUGCAAGUGCACGCGUGUAAUCUUUCAAAAACCAGUUCCCGAUUCGUGUACCAGUUUAUCCACAUGGUCCCACUAGUUAGAAUGGAGCAUCCUAAUUGAGUAAUGGGUGCACAGGCAAGCACCAUAUAUCUGUUUUGGGACCAGCCCCGGCACCUGACACGUAUAUACAACUGGAAACAAAGACCCGAUCAGGACGAUCCAUUUUGCCACAAGUGACAAACCCAGAGGAUGUUCCUCUGGGGCCACGCUAUGAGACCACCCUGUCCGUGCGGUUCCUCCAAGCAGCACCGGCAGAACAAACGGGCGGUUGCGGUGGUGUGCGGUCGCUGAAUGCACAUGCAGUGAUUGCAGUCUCCAAAAGGGCCACGAACAGCUAACACCUUUGACCAUGGGCCCCAUCUCGGGUCAGACGCAUGCACAUGCACCAUGCAGUUCCCAAGCUCUCCUCAGGCAAAUUUAAUAUGAUUCAAACACAGCUACCACCAUACAGCAUUGGUUUUCAGUACUUGUGCUCAAUUUGCGACGCUAAUCACCGUCUGACAAAACACACACCAUGGUCUUACAAUAACAAAGCACACAUCCCACUGUACUAUUUUAAACGGCUCCUACUGUACAUACUCCAGAAGCACCCCGUAAACAGAAACACAGGCAAUUUUCCUCUACUCGAAUCCUCAGUGGCUAGCCUAGCGAAGCCGUUGACGCUUCGCUGGUGGGCUCACCACUUCUUCUUCCCCAUCGUCUUCACCCAUCUCAUACUGUGGAGCUGCCGAUCCUUCCCCGUCCUCAUAAUCCUCGGCAUCAACAAUCUGGCCCCAGGCGCCUCCUUCUGGAUCGUGGUCGCCACUCCCUUCGACGCCACCAGCUUCUGGUUCCACUCCAACGUUUCCUCCCACUUCGUGUUCUUCAUCGUCAGAUCCAUCAUCCAAGUAUGGACCUCUACCCAAGGCACAACUCUGCUCAAGAAGAAUCAGAAAUGAGAAAUCAGCAUGAAGCAAUGAGAUCAGCAAGGAGCGUUCACACACACAACACACCACGCACCUGUAUUGAUCCACUGGUCAUAUCCGAUUCCGCAGGCCCAAUUGAGUCGUCAACUACUACCUGGUUCACACUCCCUUCAGAAUCCCUUCCGUUCGAAAGAACCCGCUUACCAAUUGAAGAAGCUCAAGUAACUAUCAACUGGAUGCAAUUAAUCUGAUCAAGAGAUUGGUCUUGCAGUGAAGGCACACACCUCAUGGUUCCUGUGCGUAGCUGCUGGCAGAUUGACACCGGUCAAAAUAGAACCGUAUGUAGAUGUCGAUGUAGCUUCCAUCUUCCCAACAAGGGCAAACAAUGCUGGUGGCGCCGCUGCACUGGACCCGUCCCUCGGCCUCCUCCUUUGUCUAUCUUAUAUACCAGGAGAGGCACCUCUUUCCCGCUUAGGCGGUUCAAAUUUCAAACCCCUUACCUGGGCCAUGCGUGAUGACACUUGGCCUCCAUACCUAUUGAAAUUGACAAGUACAUGUUAUUUAAUACCGAAACGACAUCCCACAACCCAUGACAUAUAUUAAAUAUACAAGAAAACCACAGAGAGACAUUCACGCAUAUUCGGCUACAGCCUGGAGCUUGCCCACUUCAGUACUACACUGGAUCAACUCAUACAGACAGCAUCACAUGGAAAACCAUGAGGUGUGUGCCAGAAACAAGUCUGAACUUAGAUAGACAUAGAUCCAAGAAUUGAACUAAACAUGAACUAAACAGUUACAAGCAAUGCAUCAACACUUUGAUAAAGUAACACCCUAACUCAGAAUGCGCCACGGACCUUUUUUACUCUUCACAUACCUACAGCGAGUCUUAGUUCCAUUGCUUUAUUGCAAUUGUUCCGCCGGUGUCCUUCCACACCACAGUUCUUGCACCUAGCAGGCUUCCUUGGUUGCUUUGGUAAAUCACCACGGUCAGGGCAUGUUGUUCGCUUGUGACCUUGUCUACGACAAAUCGUGCAAAAUCUGGUCCGUUUGCUUAGACCUUCAUAUGGAGCCUUCUCCCUGCUGGUAGUUGGUCGCCCCAUCUCUUUCCUUUUUGCCGGAGCCAGCAGUCCAUCCAACCGGUUGCUUGUCCUUGACAUGGAAUCAUUUUCCGGAAGGUUUGCAGCAAAACCCACCACAUUGUCUGUCUGUUCAACAACUACAGCAGGACGGCUCCGCUCAUUCACAACUGUGCCCUUAUCUGCUAUUCUAUCCUCUAGUCCUAGACCAUCUCUAAUCUCUGCGAAUGGGAGCAUAAUUGUCAAAUUUGACUUGAACAGGUCCAUCAAAUGGUUAUACGCGUCAACACUGGUGUCUCCAAGCCUAACUAAUUCCAUUGCAUGCAUAUACAUGGUGAAGUGCCUGUAUGAGAAGGGAUUGUUUUGCAUACUGUCUUUUUGGUACUGAGCUAGAUGAGCAGGCAGAACAUCUCUGGCAUCCUUUGUCCACCUCUUCACUAUAUGCUUCGCCGGAAUUUCCUUUGCUCGAAUAAAGUCUAGCACCUGAAAGAACAAGACAAGAUUCAUACGGUUCAGCUCGCAACUUUCAUCUUCAUCUUGCUGGCAUAACCUACUCAAUUUUCAAAAUUACAUAUCGCACGCCUAGUUCCGACCACGCCAAAAACAAAAGCUAUAUUAGACUCGCCCUCCAAAUGUAGGCAUCAAAUGAUCAAUUAAGUAAACUCAAAUUAAACCCCGCCGGUCAAAAAGAAUCCACAUAGUAGUUCAAAAAACCACUAACCUUCAGAACAUGGCUGCAAAGCAGCCCCAUAUGUGCAAACUGCCCACACUCGCACUCGAACUCAUCUCCACCGUCAAUCAUAGUCACCUUGUAAGAUACUCUACACCACUUUUCCCUUUUCUCUGCUUCGCUAUGUAUUGCUAGGUAUGUCUUGUGUUUCUCAAUCUCCUCCACCUGAUAAGCUCCACACUCAUACAAAAUCUCCCCAAAUUGUUCAAACAUUGCUCGUGUGUAUAUUUUGCUUGCAUGCCUCUCCACUGCAAGAUUUGCCCUCAUCAACGGCUUCCCCUGGGAAAAUGGCAAAACAUUGGAAUUUAAACCAUUUUUAUUUGCUAGUAACACCUUGAUAACUAGUACAAAAAUUUCCCCACUAAAUUAUGCACUUACGAUACGAGUGCGUUUCUCCUCAUAAUUCUUCUCUGAUUCGCGAUCGAACUGAAAUCUCAUGUAUUUCUGGACAAACAUGUGCAUUGGGCAUCCAGGAGGCACAUAAUUUUUGAGCACGUGGUUUGCGCUCUCACUCCGCUGUGUGCUCGUCAUUUUCGCACAAAAUACCCCCUUGAAGUAAGGCUUCACCCAUUUCUUACGAAUUUCAAACAACUGCGUCAUAUAAUCAUGACCUCUUAGCUUGUAUUUAUCCAGCAGCACCUCCCAACCUUUCUCAAAUUCAUCUUCAGUCAGCAUGUGGUUUAUCACUUUGUAAAAUUCAGCCCUGAAUUCACUUUUCUUCGUGUACAGCGGCCCAAGUGACUCUUUUGCUUUCUUCAACACAUGCCAUUUACACCACCUGUGUGCUGUAUUCGGCAUAACCUUGCUGAUAGCAAGCUCCAUUGCACAGUUCUGGUCUGAUAUAAGAAAUCAAAGUAGUGGCAAAUCAAUUAAUCAAUGCUCCCUCAUAACUACCAUUGAUGAAUAUCGAAAAACUAGAUAAAAUCUUUUUUUCUACCUGUGAGUAUAGUUACUGGUGCUGAGCCACCCAUCAUACGAAGGAACUCAGAAAAAACCCAUACAAAGCUAUCCUCAGUCUCAUCACGGACAAGCACACCCGCCAUAAUGACACUCUGGAAGUGGUUGUUCACACCAACAAACAAUCCAAAAGGCAUGUCAUACAAGUUUGUCCUGUAAGUUGUGUCAAAUGUUAUGACAUCCCCGAAGAAAGAGUACUGCAGCCUACUGUUCCCACUUGCCCACAUCAAAUUCCUAAUUCUCCCGUCACUGUCAGCUUGCACCCUAUAGGUGAAGUGCGGAUCUUUCGCACCAAUCUCCGCAAAGACAUCCAUUGUCUUCUUCACAUCAUCCUCUGCGUGGUCUCGGUUAAUUCUACCACAAAGACUGCGCAAAGACCUUUUUGUGAAUGGGACAUUCUCCAUCGAUCCAAAGAAACCUCCGAUUAUGCUAUACACCUUAGACAAAUUGACAUUGUUCUGCCGCAACUGCUUCACAAGAUCUCUUGUGUAUACAUCUAUAUGCUUGUGUGAUGGCCAAUGUAGUGUCUCGCCAAAGUUCGGCGACAAUGAGUGGUUGUGAGUAUCCUUGUGCUAUGCAAUAUACCAUCCAUUAUCUUCUGCCCGUAGGAGCCUUAUUAAAGCUUGGCAUUCGCAGCGGCAAGAUCUUGUAUUCUCAACCCCAGCUUUUCCCUGGGGAAAUGUACCACAAAAACACAAAAUUCAGUUAACGUCAGGUUUCAGCAACACCAGGAAAUUGAACACUGCAUACAGAAAACAAUUUCUACUAACCGAGCAACCACAGACGAUUUCUUGCAUGCAUUUAAUCCUCUCUACAUUUAGCCGACUCUUGCCAUAUCUGAUACCAAACCCCUUUUCCCAUGAAUACAAAUUGUAAAAGUCAUACGCCUCUCCUACAGAAUCAAAGGUCGUGCCAAUAGUCGGUGUGAUCACAUUGUCUCCUGGAUUCUCAGCAUAGUUUCGAACAACCUUCUCAAAUGCAGUGACACGGUUUGGGCAAGGCGGCCGACUUGGUGCAGCGGCACCGAUCCUCAACCUGCAGUUACAUAGCAUGAUUCACAUUUCGACAAAUUGUGCAUUAUUAUUGAUGCAAGCAUAAUUAAAAUUCACGUAGCUGCAACAAGUCACAUCAUGUAUUUGCCCUCAAUCAGGAAAAACGUCAAACGGAAAAAGCAUGAUGGAACUAUCACAAUUAAAAGGGCAGCACAACAUGGUAGAUGUGCCUGACCACAAUAUCGUUAUCAGUACAAGUUUCAUUUAUCAAGUUUGCUUUAAGAUCAGACACCACUUGUAGCAGUGUGGUUAGCAUCUAAAGGGGACUGAGUAAUACAAAUUCCUAACGAUGCACGGCAAAAAGGGGACUUGUAGCAUGGUAGAUUCUUCAAUAUAAUUAGAUGCUACUGAUAACCAGACUCAGUCCUCCAUCAUCUCAAGCACAAAAACAUACAACAGGGAACACAUGCCCUUUGCAAACUUUCAUUACUAUCCAGAGAAACAGGUAUUACAUAGAAAAAAAGACCUCGAUACAUGUCACGUCGCCCAGGUCCUAGAAACAGGGGAGACAUCCAUGUUUUCUACUUAUCUCAAUUGGACCUAACCUGUUAGGGAAUGUUUUUAUCAACCGCUCUUACUCCCAAAUUCACACCCGCAUCACUACAAUAUUUUGUUUUCACUCACAGCUACUGCCCAUCGAAUGAAUCAUGUAAACACAUGGGUGAAUUUCCUACUUCCAAACAAUGCAGAGACCUCACUGCCUUGCUUGUAAUAAUCUACAAAUACAAAUCACAAAUAAAGGAUGUUACCCAAAUAUGCCACUACUUCUCCUCAAAAGGAUCAAGCCCCUGUUAACUGCCUCAAUAUGCAACUACUAAUUCAGUUAUGAGGUUCCUUCUUUAGUCCAACCUCCUAAAAAAUUCCGUACCGUCUAUUUUCCUAAACCUUUUCAUUCCAGUCAAUAGCAACAACAUAUUCAGUUACUGGUAUGACACAACGAUCAUCGUCUUGCUCAGCCCAGAGGCACAUCAUCAAGUAAAGUACAUAUGCACGCCAUGAACUAACCUCUUAUUCCAUCCAGGAGCUCGUGGGUUCAUCUUCCCAGUAGAUAGCUCCGAGCUUGGUGGAGACACGUCCCUCCUCUCCUUCGCUCCUUCACUGAGCAUCAACAUCUGCGCCUCCCCUGUAGCUGCCGGCGGAACCUCAACCGCCAACUGAUGUCCUUCCGUCACCUGCGCCGCCACCAUCUUCACAUCGACCGCAUCCGCCCGCUCCGGUGCCGGCACCAAACUCUCCCCAACUUCCUCCAGGGAGUUAGAUCUGCCCGACGCUCACGCAAAUCCGCUCAGAAUCACCACAUUUACGGUUUACAAAUCUCUAGAAGAAAGCCACAUAUCUAGAGUACAUACCCGUCUAUAGGUUGCAUCAGGAACUCCAUCCUUGUCGCCCUCACCUCCGCCGUCGGCGCCGCCGCUCACCACCAGGCCUUCGAUAAUUAGGUCAGCUUUACCCUAGCCGAAGCCACCAGACCGCGCAGUUGGUUCCUACCAUGGGCCCAGCGAACGGAAAAGCUCACAUUCGGGGCCACGGACUAGACGUCGAAUUACUGUUCUAAUCCACGGCCCAACUCGUCAACCACAAACGGACGUUUAUCCGCCCGUGAAACUGCGGCCCACCACCCACGCCUGCCAUCUACGUAUUUCGUGACAGUGGACAUUUAUUAACUCGCCAAUCCCUCCCGUAUUUAGAACUGGCGCAUAUCUCCAUGCUUCAGCCAACGCCCUAGAUAACGGGCUCAUAUGAGCUCGCGCAUAGAUACUCCGCGUCUGCUCAUAAUAAAGGAAUCAACAAAUCCACGUGAUUCUGAUCACCGGCGUGUUUCCGUUCGCGGGACUUUGUGACUGACUGACCGUGGGAGGACUGAUCAGUGGACUAAUUAAUUCAUAGGAAAGCAGCAGGAAAAGGAUACGAAAAUACUUUAAAAUAAUAUAGUAGUACGUGGGGUUCUUCACACCCCAAAAGAGAGUACGAGUGGCCUAGUGAUCAGAUAACGACUCCGUUGUCCAUAGCAGAACUCCACUUUCUUGAGCUAAACAAACCUAUCUCCUGUGCGGUUUAAGAUUUCCUUUCCGGUAGUUUAUACAUACUGCAUGCAGCCGCCUUGCUUGUUUUAAAUGUUUCAGUAUCGACGACAAAGAACACGAUUUACAUGAGUACACAGUUUGCACGUUCGUAACUUUAGUGCAGCGUUACCUCAAACAAAAAGCAAAAAAAGAACCCGUAGUGCAAGGUUACUCGAAUUAGACUAUCAAUUAGGAGGUAAUAGCAUGCAGCAUGUGUAUUUCAUGCUGUUGGUGUAAUGAGUAACUAAUUAACAAACAUGUACUCCACAAACUAGGGCUUUGAUUUCUAAAUAUGGUAUUCAUAGUUUAAAUUUGUUCCUUGGUAAAUCUCCUUUCUCCUCCCCUUCAUCUCUCUUCCUCUGACCCCUCACUUGAGAGUCGCCCAGGACUGCCUGGCCCGAUCCAACUCCUCGUCCGGCGGCACUGCCGGCCGGCGAUGGCUACAGAGAGAUGCUUAGGUCCUCCAUGUGCAUAUUAGGAUAGUAGAAGUCCUAGUUAGUCUUGGCUUUAUGUCAAGGUUUGGCGCGAUAUGCCAACCUCUAGCUUGCGAGCGGCGUCGUUUGGUGGUCGUUGUUAUCUUCUUCCUUAUCCCCAUGGUGGAGGGAAGAGGAGGGGCGAUGGAUUAUCCCCCUCAAUAAGUUCGCUCCGGUGCUAUGAUAAGUGGUGGAGGUGGUGAGGUCGCUAUUAUUCUCUAGCCGUCAAGGAGGUGGCAAGAAGAGAUGUGGCGGAUCCAAACGCUCCUUGCCUUGUCGCUGUUCUGUUGCAUCGGAUCUUUGCGACUGGCACAGGCUUGGUUGGUCCCUAUGCCGCAGGAAGAGGUUUCCCAAGUUGCCUUACUUUUGCACGAAGAUCCAGAUGCAAGGUGGUGAAGAUGUUUUUGGGGAUAGAGUGGAUCUUCGACGACUGCUUUGGAUUAUCCUAUGCAUCCACUGCGGCGGUCGAUGUUUAAUCCGUUCCAACACGUGGCCGAUUUGCUUGGCCAAAGGGCGGACAAUUUUCUUCCUCCCGGCCACGAUGACACAAGGGAAGUAGUGCAUCCUUUAAGUAGACUUCAUGGUGUGCUGUUGUGAAGACUUCAACGAACCAAGUGGUUUCGUACCCGGUGCUGACCAAGUUUUUUCUGUGAGGAGGGUUUUUUGGACCUGAUUGCAUUAUGUAUCCGUGUUUUGGGGUCCUUCUCGUAAAGUACGGGGACUUAGUUGCUAUUCUUUCUAGUUCGGUUCAUGCCAUAAGAUUCUAUGUACCUUCGCUUUGAUCAAUAUAGCAUCUGGGUCCUUUGAGACCCUUUUUUGUUAAAAAAAUCAUUCAUUACAAUUUAAACUAUGAAAAGAAUCUGCAAAAAAGUAAAAGGAAAGAAACAACUUAACAUGAUACAAUUAAAUAUAAUAAUAUUUGCAACCAACUUAGAAGGCUCUAAUGGAUGAUGCCUACCCAAUUUUAAAACUUGACCAGCGGUCCAACUGAAAAAACCUCCAGCCGACCUCUUCUUUUAUUUUUAAAGAUGUUUUGGUCUUUUAGCAAAAAAAAACCAAAAAAUAUUCAAAAAAUGGUGUUAAGACAAAAAUAAACUUUUGAGCUCAAGCAACCAGAUAAUGAAGACCCAUUACACACUUGGCUAGCUACAUUUCUGAUUUAUUGAGGUAAUACAUCUUAUGUGUAUUUAUUUGACCAGAGAGCAAUAUUAUUGAAAAAAUGGCUUAAAUAUUUAGCCUUUUCAUCUCCAAUGAACCAGCUAAACCGAUUGUCCGACUGGGUGAAAAUUUGAACUGACAACCUCAUUGAUUCAGUUGUCGGUCCCCUUUUUUAAAUUAUGGUUGCAUGGUAACAUGCUCUCAUGUUCACAUCAUAAGAAUUAUGGACCAAGAUAGUAAAUUUAUUAGUUACAAUAUUUUUGAUAACAUGGAAGCAUGCACAUGCAACCAAAUAGCUAUUUAAUGACUUGUAUCAAGGUUUAUCUAUGUAGGAUAUAUGGAUUAUAGUUAACACACAUGGAUGUCUAGUUAUUAGUUGCAAAACAUUCCUUAAGUUUGGGUCAUACUCUAGUAGAUGCACAAGAAUGUUAUGAACUGAGCUUGGGCAGCAUGAUGGAGCUACCGGACAAGCUCGGACGGCUGCGAUCGCGACCAAGGCGCAAGUAGAGAGGGAUGGGGAAUUGUUUUUGGCGCCAACUGCUAAAAUAUGAGUAAUGCUAUAUCCAUGGGUGGGCCAGGGGGGAUUUACGGGCUGGUCGGUUGGGCUAGCACUUAAAUAUAGGGUUUAAUUAGGAGAAAUUAUUUAUUUAUUUAGGUCAAUUCCCUAAAAAUAGCUAUUUAGGCCAAUAAAAUUAAGACAUAUCAGUUUUUCCCUAAUUAUCACCUAAAUCUUCCGAUAAACUUUGUAGGUGGAGCAUUAUAGCCAAAAUAUAUAGAGGAUCUCUAUCCAUUCAGGAAUACAGAGAAUGAAAGGGGAGAAUAUGAGAUGACACUACCCUUCACAUGCUACAUGCUCCAACUUCUGAAAAGUUAUAUUUAAAUGUUUUGAAAAAUUCUUUUUUUUGUGGAUGCGCACAAGACAUGUGACUACUAAACCUAAAAAUCCCAAAAAUUCGAAACACACAUUGAGAAACAAAAAAAGACAAAAUCUAAAAUAAAUUGUUUCAAAAGAAGGCAAAACAUGAAUAGUGUCAGAAAUUACACUUUUCACAUAUGGAUAUGUCCUUUUUAUUUCUCAACAUAUAUUUCAAAUUUUGAUCUGAAUUUGUUAGGGUUAUAGAUAUAUGUCUUCUGAAAUCCACAAAUUUCUUUUAGAAUUUUGCGGAACAUAUUUAUGUGAUUUUCUAAAUUUGUAUCAUGGGAACUUAUGAAGGGUGGCAUCACCUGACAUUUACCCGAAAUGAAAGACAUGUUUUAGUGUCUCUUCAAAAAAAAUUAGAAUAGAGAGCCAUAGUGAGGAUUUACUAGAAUGAGAACAUGUGGUAUUUGAACCCGAGCUCACAUGCUCUAUAAUGAACAGUAAAAUAAAAAAAUAAAAAAAAUUCUGACUUUAUUGUGGUAAACAUUGAUGAACACUUCAACUGUGUGCAAAAUUUUGUGAUGAAAUCACAAUCGCCUAGGUCUGGGCAAAAAAGACAAAAUCAAUGCUUUAGAAUAACUAUUAUUUGGAAGCAUUUUGGAGGAUCGAUUUUUUUUCAGCCCUCCACGAUUGUCAUUUCGUCACAAAAAAUUGCACCCAGUUAAAACAUUCAUCAAUGUUUAUCACAGAAAAAAAUCAGAAUUAUUUUAAUUUGCUUACUGUUUUCUUCGGAUUUUACUGUUCCUCGGGGAGCAUGUGAGCUAGGGAUCAAAAGAGCACUUUUUGCUAGAAUGACUCCAUCUUCUCUAUAUAGAGAUAAAACUUUUAGACGAUGAGGGGGUUAGGAUUUGCUAUACAAUUUUUUUGCGGGAUGAUAUGAAUUUGUAGUAAUCGUGAUUUAUCAAUAUAUUUUUUUGGAAAGAGGAGGCAAAAGACUUGACUCAUUUAUUAAUUAAGAGAGAAGUAAUAUAGAGGGUAACCAAGAACUCAAAAACAAAAAGAUUGUUACUCUACCGGCAUCAAGUUACUCAAACGCUUCGCCUUUGCCAGAACCCGAAGCUUUGCUUCAUUCCUUAAAAUGUAAAAGGUGAUUUACGGUGCUGUAGAUGUUUUUUGGGAAGACCCUCAAGUUUCUCAUUUUCCAGAUUGACCAAGUGAUGAGCAUCACAAGGGACGCCAAUGCCUUGCUAGUUGUGGCAGUUGAGUCCAUCAAUCACCCACGGAGUGAUAUAUAAGCCCAUUUUAGGUUGGGUCGAGGUUAUCGAGACCCGAGACCCGACCAAGCUUUGAUCAACCUCCGAACACACAUUUCAGACAACUGGAGACAUAUAUGAUGCAUGCACGUAUAGAAAAAGGUGAACCUCCCAGAAAAAAAAUCUUAUUGUCAUCAAUCCAUACCAACGUUGCACAUAGCAAGUUAGAUUCCUCGGAAACAAGAUCGAAGAAACAGACAUCAGUGCAUCUUAGAUAACUCGGAAUGAAGAUUAACUGAAGAAACACAGCAGCAGCGCAUCUGCCUGCGUAAGCCGACGAGCACCUGGAAAUGAAGGACGAGGAAGUCAGCAGGGCACCCCCUCACGAAACGAUAACGCCCAGCAUGGCAGCGUGCUCUCUUCCCCCGUCCAUGCCGGAUAUCAGAGCCCUCCGUGACACCAAUCCCCGCCCCCCUCGCGCGACGCGCACCAACCAGUUCCUGCUUUGCCCACGUCGACCCAGUCCGGCUGCCACAAAGCCGCCACCGCGCGUAGCCACCACCCCCGCUCCGUGCGCUCCCGUGGCGACAGGAGCUCCGCACCAACCAAUUCAGUGGUCAACCUCGCCGUCCAGUCGUCCAGGUCUACACCAACCCGCUGCCUCACACCUACCUACUACUUGCGCUGCCUAUUUAAUCCCUUCCCCUCCCUCCAUUCCCCUCCAAGAAGAGCCACAGCUUCAUCUGCAGCUACAGCUCCUCUUCGUCUUCGACACACAAGUAUUUUUUCAGGACAAAGAUCAAUCCAGAUACACAUACACCUGCCGACGUUUAACUAGCUUACUUCCAGAAUCCAGAUACACAUACACCUGCCGGCGUCCAGCUAGCUCACUUGCGAGCUGUAGUACGUCGCUGCAUAUUCCAAUGGAGUGCGAGAAUGGGCAAGUCGCCGCCAACGGCGAUGGCUUGUGCGUGGCGCAGCCGGCGCGGGCCGACCCACUGAACUGGGGGAAGGCUGCGGAGGAGCUCUCGGGGAGCCAUUUGGAUGCGGUGAAGCGGAUGGUGGAGGAGUACCGACGGCCCGUGGUGACCAUGGAGGGCGCCAGCCUGACCAUCGCCAUGGUCGCCGCGGUGGCUGCCGGCAACGACACCAGGGUGGAGCUGGACGAGUCCGCCCGCGGCCGCGUCAAGGAGAGCAGCGACUGGGUCAUGAACAGCAUGAUGAACGGCACCGACAGCUACGGUGUCACCACCGGCUUCGGCGCAACCUCUCACCGGAGGACCAAGGAGGGCGGCGCCCUGCAGAGAGAGCUCAUCCGGUACGAAUUAAACCGCAGAACCAGUUCUACUUCUUGUUAAGCAUUUCUGUUAGUAGUUAUGUGUACCAGACUAUGAAUUGAGUUAUGGAAACCUUAUUUUUUCGUGAUUGCUUUUGAGUUCAGAUUCCUUAAUGCGGGAGCCUUCGGCACCGGCACCGACGGUCACGUCCUGCCUGCCGCGGCGACGAGGGCGGCGAUGCUCGUCCGAGUCAAUACCUUGCUCCAGGGAUAUUCAGGCAUCCGCUUCGAGAUCCUCGAGACGGUCGCCACACUUCUCAACGCCAACGUGACACCAUGCCUACCGCUUCGGGGCACGAUCACCGCAUCCGGUGACCUCGUCCCGCUUUCGUACAUCGCGGGCCUGGUCACCGGCCGCCCAAACUCCAUGGCGACUGCUCCAGAUGGCACGAAGGUUAAUGCCGCUGAGGCAUUUAAGAUCGCCGGCAUCCAG